AUCAACAAACAUUUAUUUUGUACAAAAGAGAUAAGAUCUUAGCUAAAUUCUAGAUUUGAAUAAACAACUAACUCGAAUAACAAUAUAUAAUCAUUUAAAUAUUAUUAUUGAAUUUGAAUUGAUAUUAGUGAUAAUUGUUGGGAUUUUGUCGCCUCAGAUGAUACGACUUGCUCAAUCUUAUCUUGUGGAGGCCAGAUGGACUCUUCAAAACUACAAACCAUCAUUCGAGGAGUUUAAGGCUAAUGCAUUGCCAACUUGUGGUUAUGCCAUGCUUGCUAUUACAUCUUUCGUCGGCAUGGGAGAUAUUGUAACACCAGAAACCUUUAAAUGGGCAGCCAAUGACCCUAAGAUCAUUCAAGCUUCCACAAUUAUUUGUAGGUUUAUGGAUGAUGUUGCUGAACACAAGGUAUAAUAAUAUAUUUAAAUAAUCACAAGAAACCAAACUAUUAACUCAAUAACGAUGGUUUUUGUCACGAUUUGAAACAAUUAAAGUUUAAUGUUUAUAUAUCAAAUGUUUAGCCUUAAAUCGAAGAAUAAGAAAAGAUAUCUAGUUUCAUUUUAAAAAUAUAUAUAGUUUAACAAACGAAUAGAAUUUAGGUUAUAUAGUGAUUGAAUAAUUUUUAUUUUAUUAUGGUUGCAGUUCAAACAUAGGAGAGAAGACGAUUGCUCAGCAAUUGAGUGUUACAUGGAAGAAUAUGGUGUAACAGCACAAGAGGCAUAUGAUGUAUUCAACAAGCAUGUUGAGAGUGCUUGGAAGGAUGUGAAUCAAGAGUUUCUGAAACCAACAGAAAUGCCAACAGAAGUUUUGAAUCGUAGCUUAAACCUUGCAAGGGUGAUGGAUGUACUCUACAGAGAAGGUGAUGGCUACACAUAUGUUGGAAAAGCGGCUAAGGGUGGAAUCACUUCAUUACUCAUUGAACCAAUUGCACUUUGAAAUCGUAUUAAAUUUUCCUCUUCUGUUCCUUAAGGAAUAGUUAUUAAGUUAUAAUUAAUAAUGUUUUAUAAUAUAUAUAUUAUAAAAGAAAUUCUAAAUCAACUGUCUUUGUAUUCAUUUCCCUGUAUUGAUCUAAUAAAGUUCUUUUCAAGCUUUCAUUUGUGAAAAAUCUGCUAUUUUAUAUUUUAUAUUUUAAUUUUCCUUCUUUCGUUGCUAUAGCUUUGAACACAAAAUUUAGAGUAUGAUCCUAUCAUGCUCUUCCUUUUUACCAACAUUGUUGUCACUUUCAAUGAUUUUUCUCUUCUUCGCCAUAACAUUAUCAUCAAGAUUGCAUGUGAUAAAGUUUUGCCAUUCAGAUAGCCUUUUCAAGGCUCGCCACUAGAAGCUCACUUAAAUAGGGAUACUUGUUAAUAAAAUAUGUUUGUUGUCCUUGUUUUUAGGCAUAUAUUUGCUGCACAUCAAGGAUUUAGUGGCUACAGAUCAUGGGUUUAUUUGGUUUAGAUUUUUUUUCCUUAGUUGUUAAGAGUCCUAUUCUGAGUCGUUUGUUGUUAGUGUGCGAUUUCUUGAUUUUUCUAUCAUGUAAUUGCCUAUAUAAUAGGUUCUUGAGGUUGUGAAUAAAUGAGUUGAUCAUCUUAUUUUCCCUUUCCUUUAUUUUUUUCAUCUUGCUGUUAUCUCCUUAGUAAGCUAAUAGUUGUGUCAGAGCCUGGUAAAAGAAGAGUAUUUUCGGUGAGAGAAAAAUGUUUAUGGUCCUCUUAUGGCUUUUGAAAAUUGUUUGCAACUACCUAUUCCACAUUUUGACGGUCACUAUGACCAUUGGAGAUGUUGAUGGAGAACUUAUUAUAGUCCAAGGAGUAUUGGCAAGUCAUUAAGCACGGUAUAGCAACACCAACAGAUGGAGAAAAGCUUACAGAAUACAACAAAAAAGACUUGAAGGGGCUGAAGUUCAAAGAUUUGAAAGCAAAGAAUUACUUAUUUCAAGCUGUUUCGAUCCUAGAAACCAUUCUUUGCAAAGAAACUUUCAAGGAUAUUUGGUACUCCAUUAAGACAAAAUGUCAAGGCUCUUCCAAAGUGAAGCGUGCAUAGCUUCAAGCUCUUUGGAAGGACCUUGAGGUUCUUCGGAUGGAGGAUGGUGAGUCCAUUAUAGACUAUUGUGCAUGAACCAUGGGAAUCAUGAGUAAUAUGUGAUUUCAUGGUGAGAAGAUGAAUGACACAACCAUUGUUAAGAAGAUACUACGGUCCUCAUCACCAAAGUAUGAUUAUGUUGUCUACUCAAUUGAAGAAUCCAAUGACAUUGAUGCACUCACCAUUGAUGAACUCCAGAGUUCCUUGUUGGUCCAUAAAUAGAAGAUGAAUAGAACUUCUACCCCCAAUGGAGCAGGCUUUGAAAGCUUCAACUCAUUCUUUCAAAAGAAGAAAUGGAGGUCAAGGAAAGGGAAGAGACAGAUGAGACAGUUGGAAUAAAAAUAGUGGCAGGUAUGCCAGAUCAGAUGAUAAAGGCAAACAACAAGAUCGACAAUUUGACAAGUCAAAGGUAGAAUGUUUUGGAUGUUAUAAGUUUGGUCAUUAUUGUUUUGAAUGUCGUACUAAUCUAUCAAUGAUAAGGAAAAGGGAGAAAAGUCAAAAUUUUCAUAAAAAGAAGCUAAAACCUUGUUAAUGGCAAUUCAUGACAAGCAAGAGAAGCCACAAAACUCAUGUUUAUGGUAUGUGGAUACAGGCUGUAGCAACCACAUGUGCGGUAAUAAGUUUUCUUUCUCUUAUCUAAAUGAAGACUUUCACAUUAAUGUGCCUUUUGGAGAUAAAUCUAUUGUUGAUGUAGUGGGAAAGGGUGGUAUUAGUAUAAGAACCAAUAAUAGUUUUGUAGAAACAAUGUCCCAUGUUUUCUUUGUGUCUGCUUUGAAAACUUAUUAAGUGCUGGUCAAUUGCAAGGAAAAAGAUAUGUGAUUACGGUAUCAAAAAGUGAUUGUGAAAUUUAUGAUCCUUCUAGAGGUGCUAUUGCAGUGGUUCCAAUGAGUUCCAACAGGUUGUUUCCAUUAGUGAUUGAUUGUUUUCAACCUUGCUUGAUGGCUAAAGUGAAGGACAACACAUGGCUUUGGCAUUUUUGAUGUGGUCAUCUUAAUUUUGAGGGUUUGAAGACUCUUUGGUAGAAAGAGAUGGUCAACGACCUCCCUCAGAUUGUCAUUCAAACCAUGUGUGUGAAGAUUGUGUUGUUAGCAGACAACAUCAUGAACAAUUUCCCAAAAUAAAGUUUUAGAUAGCAAAACAUGUGCAGGAAUUGGUCCAUUUAGAUAUCUGUGGACCAAUAAAACCAUAAUCUAAUGGAGGUAAAAUUUAUUUCUUUACUUUCAUCGAUGAUUAUUUCCAAAAAUUGUGGGUUUACUUUUUGCAGGAGAAAUCGGAAGCAUUUAGUGCAUUUACUAGCUUCAAGGCACUUGUUGAGAAUGAAAUCGGGAAAACCAUUCAAGUUCUUCGCAUUGAUUGUGGUGGAGAAUAUUGUUUCAAGGAAUUUGAAGCAUUUUGUGAGAGCCAUGACAUCUGGAAAAAGCUUACCACUGCAUAUACCUCCCAAAAAAAUAGCGUAUAAGAGAGGAAAAACAGAACCAUACUUAAUAUGGUGAAAAGCAUGCUUGCUAGUGGAAGGGUCUUAAAAUAAUUUUGGGCAAAAGGAGUAAAUUGGAGCAUCCAUGUCUUGAAUAGAAGCCCAACUUUUGCUGUUCAAAACAUGACACCUGAAGAAGCUUGGAGUGGAAGGAGACCAGCUGCAGAUCACUUCAAAAUUUUUGGUUGCAUUGCUUAUGCACAUGUUCCAAAUGUAAAGAGAAAGAAGCUUAAUGUCAAAGGAGAGAAGCGUGUCUUUCUAGGUGUAAGUGAAACAUCUGAAGUGUAUAAAUUGUUUAAUCCUUUAAAGGAGAAAAUUGUGAUUAGCAGGGAUGUAAUUUUUGAUGAGGAGAAUACUUGGAAUUGGGAUGACAAACAACCUUUUCAAACCUUUGUUGGUACUGAAGUUGAAGAUGAAAAGCAGUAGCCUUUAGAUUAGUAGACUCAAGCAACACUUAAGCUUAAGAGUUCACCAAAUAAUACUCUAAUAAGUAGUUGAACCUCAUCCUAGCUAUAUUUGACGGAGACCAGCUUGGAUAGGAGAUUUUUAGGUAAUCAGCGUUGGGCAGACUGAAGAUCCAACCAUCUAUUUUGCUUUAUUUGCGGAUUGUGAUCUAACAACCUUUGAAAGUGCUGUAAAUGAGUCAAAAUGGAGAAAAACAAUGGAUGAAAAAAUUGCAGUAUAGAGAGGAAUGAUACAUACAAGUUCACUAAACUUCCAAAAAGGCACAAGACAAUUAGUGUCAAAUAGGUGUACAAGACAAAGUUGAAGGAGAAUGGAGAAGUUAAUAAGUAUAAGGCACAUUUGUGGCUAAAGGUUAUAAAUAGGAGUUUGGGGUAGAUUACAAAGAAGCCUUUGCUCCUGUUCCAAGGCAUGAUACAAUCAGAUUGGUGAUUUCACUUAUAGUCUAAUACUCUUGGCCUAUCUUCCAACUAGAUAUGAAUUCGACAUUUUUACAUGGUGAGCUCAAAGAACAGGUUUUUAUUGAACAACAUACUGGUUAUGUUAAACAUGAAAGUGAAAAUAAAGUUUAUAAACUAAAAAAAGGCUUUAUAUGGGUUGAAACAAGCCCCACAUGCUUGGUAUAGUCGAAUUGAAGCUUAUUUCUUGAAAGCUGGUUUUCCCAAGUGUCCUUAUGAGUCUACUCUUUUCAUUAAAACUGGUGAUAAAAGGAAAAUACUUAUUGUGAGUUUAUAUGUUGAUGGUUUUAUUUUCAUUGGAAAUUGUAGUUCCAUGUUUAAUGGAUUCAAGAAGUCUGAUGGUUGAGUUUAAAAUGUCAGAUCUUAGUAUGAUGCAUUAUUUUCUAGGCAUAGAAGUAGUGCAAUCAACUAAUGGAAUAUUUUUUUCUCAAAGGAAAUACAUUCAAGAUAUUCUGAGCAAGUUUGACAUGAAGGAUUGCAAUCUAGCAAGCACCACCAUUGAGUUUGGCUUGAAGUUGAGCAAAGAAGGAAAGUAAGUGGACAACACUUUUUAUAAGCAGAUUGUAGGCAAUUUAAUGUACUUGAUUGGUACAAGACCUGACAUAAUAUAUUUUGUGAGUUUGAUCAGUAGGUUUAUGGAGAAUCCUACAGAGAUGCAUUUAUUGGUUACUAAGAGAAUCCUUCGUUACUUGCAAAGAACCAUAUAUUUUGGGUUGUUUUACAAAAAAGGAGAAUUUUAAUAUCUAUUUAGGUUCAUUGACUGUGACUGUAGGAGAUCUAGAUGAUAGAAAAAACACUUCAGUUUAUGUUUUCAUGAUGGGAAUCGGAGUUGUUUCAUGGUCAUCCAAGAGGCAAUCUAUUGUUCCUUUGUCAACAACUGAAGCUGAAUUUGUUGUUGCAACAACCUGUGCUUGUCAAGCUAUUUCGUUGAGAAAAAUCUUGGAGGAGCUGAAAUUCAAGAGAAUGGGAGCUACAAUAAUUUUUUGUGACAACAACUCAGUUAUCGGAUUCUCAAAAAAUCCAGUAUUACAUGGUAGAAGCAAGCAUAUUGAUGUGAAGUACUAUUUUUGAGAGAUCUUAACAAUGAUGGGGUAGUUGAUCUUAAAUGCUGCAAGAGUAAAGAUCAGCUGGAUGACAUAUUCACCAGACCUGGCAAAUUAUUUCCCUUAUUGUGAGUCCUAUUGUGAGCCUUAUUAUGUUAGUGCCUAAUUUCUUGAUUUUUCUGUUAUGUAAUUGCAUAUAUAAUAGGUUUUUGAUGUUGCGAAUAAAUGAACUGAUCAUCUUAUUUUCCCUUUCCUUUAUUUUUUUCAUAUUGCUGUUAUCUCUCUUAGUAAGCUAACAGCACCUUCACCUCUUUAAGCCCUACCAUUAUCAACUUGCCCUUUAGAAUCAGUGCUACAAAGCUCUCCUUUCAAACUCACCAAGAAGCUCCACCAACAAAAUGUCUACACCAUCAACAUCACCUCUCUAGGCAAGCCAAUGACAACACAUUACACCUUGCCCAAAAAUAUUAUCUCAUGGAAGGCCACUUUAUAAUCUCUUGCUCAAUUGCAAUAGAGGGGUGAUCCACCCAAGCACACUUACAUAAAAAUGGAACAAAUAAAAUCAAUUAUAUCAACAACGUAGGCACCACAUUAUCAUAAGCAUGAUGGUGUCAAAUUAUAAUAUAGUAGUUACAAUGGAACACUUACAUAAGUACUCCAAGGAUCAUUCUUCCACAUGGAUUGAUAAAGGAAGUCCAUAACCAAACAAACAAAUUUGGCCAUUACAAAUACAAUGAGGUAAACUUAAAUGAUCUUUGAAUAGUUAGGUGACCAAAGGGUAAACUUACUAGUUGUUGAGUGGCUAUAAGUGUAGUUUACCAAUUCUUUAAUGUUUAAGAUUACUUUUGUUUAAAUCUUACCUUUUUGCUUCAAAAUUAUUGGUGUUCUUGGUUGGUUGAAAAACUAGAGGAAUGGGAGGAAGGAGUGGAAAAGUGGAAAGAAAAUAAAAUUUAAUUGUACUUCGUAGGGAAUAAAAGUGAGAGAAAAGAAAAUAGGAGAGAUAAUCAUUUUUCAUCUUAAUGCAUAGAAAUCAAUCCUUCCAAAUUGGAAAGAUGAGAGGAGAGAAUAUUAUAAAGAUGUGUAUGUUAGUUUAAAAUUAUGCUAUUUUCUUUCAUUUCAUUUUUUAACUCUAUCAAACAAUAGAGGGAAAGAAAAUUACUUUGUUUUUCCACUUUUUCAUUUCUCCUAUCAAACACAACUACGGAAAGAAAAUUUAUGUUUUCCAUCCUUCUAAUUUUCAACCCCUUCAAUAUUCCAUCUUUCCAAUUUUCUUUCCACUCCAACAAGCAAAGCGAAAAUGUCUAGAGACAAAAUUGUUGACUUUUAUAAUUGUUAUAACAAACGUCGAUAAUGACAAUAGCAUGAUCGCAAAGUAUGAAAAAAAUAAGAACACACAGAUUUUACGUGGAAACCCUUUCGGGAAAAAACUACGGACAAAGGAGAAGAAAUUUACUAAUGUUGAAAAACGAAUAAUACAGGAGAAGUUUCGACUACAUCUAUUAAAAAGGUUAAAAAAUCCUAUUAUAAUCAAUAUCAAAUAGAAUAAAUAUAGUUCUUCAACAAGUGACGGGAUUUGGGUCACACAAACUCUAACAAUAAUUAAUGAAUUAAUUUAGUCUUUUACUUCAUAAUACAAUGACCCACAUUGUGAAAUUUCCAUUUCUGUUUUAGAAAAUUUCUAAAAAAAAGUUGUUUAGAAAUAAUCUUCUCAUGAGUUGUAAGUAAAAAAUCCAGUAAUAUUAUUAAAUAUUUAGUAAUAUUACAAGAAAUCUGUAUUCCUAAUAUAAGUAGCUUUGUAAAAGACUUAGUAAUUUACAUUGUAAGAAAUUCAAUAAUUUAUUGAAAAUGUUACAAUGUUGUAGCAAAUUCAGUAUUUUAAGUAGCCCACACUAAAUCUUUUUUAAAAUUACUGAAUUUAUAAUAAUUACUGAAUUACUUACAUGAUUACCAAAAAAAACUUCAACUAUUACUGAAUUCAUUAUGACAUUUUUUAUUUAUCUAAUUUCUUAAGGAAUUCUAUCAGUAAUUCAAUAAUUCUUUAAGAGUUUUAGUAAUUCAGUAUUUUUACGAAAUUUAGUAAUUUACGAAAUUAUGAAAAAUUAGGUAAACAUUAAAAUGUUUUAAGAUAUUCAAUAAUUGAUUUAGGUUAUUCAAUAUAUUUUAAUUUUAAUUUUAGUUUGGCCAUAAUAAGCACUUUUGUUCCUUGGGUUUGUGGGUUUGCUGCAAAUUAGAAAGGUUUCAUCAAUUUUUUAUUUAUUUCUCUAGGUUAUUAGAGUGAAUUCAAUAAUUAAUCCUCCACAUUCAAUAGGUCCAUUAAGGGGUAGAUGCGGACAACGAGUUUUAAAAUUACUCCAUACCCAGGAUAAUAAUUGAACAUUGGGCCACUGGUUAAGAUAGAAGAGACCCUUAACAUCUCAUUUAACUCCUGUGGCUAAAGGGUUCGUUAAUUUUAACAAUAUGUUUUAAGCUUCGUUAUGAGUUAACCCUUCACUCUCCUAGCUACAGAACUAAACUAAAGCAUCAACUUCUAGCUCCCCUUACCAUCAUGCAAUGGUCAUUUCGUGCUUUCAUAAAAUAAAAGUCCAUUUCAAAAGAGAGAAAUCUGAAUAAAAGAUUCAUCAUUAGCAAUAAAAAACAUGAAGAAAUUGAGAAGAAAACAAAAGAAAGAAAAGAGACAUGCCCAUUUCAGAAGGUGGAAAGCCUAAACUUUAGUUUAGAUUUUUAGGGAUUUCUAAGAAGUUUUUUUUUCGAAAAUCAAGCAAAGGAUUGGAUUUGAAAUUUUAGUUUUUUUUUCAUAUAUAUUUUAGUUUUUUUAAAAUUUUUAUAUCAUUUUUAUUUAAAAAUUUUUAGGAACUAUAAAAAAGAAAUAUAUAUAUAUAGUGAUUAGUUCUGCAAUUCAACUUAAAUUUUUCAUCUAACAUAAUUACUUAACAUGUUACGUUAGCUUACUGUUAUUUUAUUAAUGAUAAUUAAUAGCUCAAUAACUAGAUAUUACAAAUCGAUAACGUUAGUGACCAUUUUGUAACAAAUUAAAAUCCAAUGACUAAAAUGUAAUUUAAACCAUAGAUAAAUGAAUAUUUUUAUAAUUUAUCCUAUAUAAUAUUAUAUAUAUGUACCUCAAGAAAAAAAAAUAUCAUACAUAUGCACGCCAAACUAUAUAUAUAUUUAAUGUUAAGUUUCUAAUAUACAAUAUUUAUAAUAUUUAUAAAAAUUAAAUUUUAAGUUUAAAAAUUAUGAAAAAUUUUAAAAAUCUAAAAGUUUCAAACUACACCAACUGACCACAUGCUUGUUGGAAAUACUUAAAUUCAAUGCACAAUAAAAUACUAAAAAGAAAGGAGUUAAUAUAUGUUAACUUUGUUGAUGUGGUAUAUAUGUAAAUUACUAUGUGAAUGAAAUCUCAACAAUUAAAAUUUUUAAAUUUUAGAAAGUUUAACCAAAUAUAUAAAAAAAUAUUUUAAAAUUUAAAAUCAUUUUAAAAAUUUUAAAAAUAUAUUUUAAAAAUUUUAAAAAUUAAUUAAUUGUUAACGUGGCACAUACGUGGAUGCCAUAGUAAUAAAGUUAACAAACAUUAAUUUUUCCAUCCAGUUUGGGAUGAUUUGACAAACAAUGCAAAUUCAAGAGCUAAAAGAGACGAAAAAUUAAAUGAAGAACUAAAAUGACAUUUUAUAAAGUUGAAGGGCUAAAUAAAUUAUUAUGCUUUUUUAAUAACCGUUAUUUCUUUCUUUUUUUUAACAUGCCAAAUUUAAAAUAUGUAUAUUAAAUAUUUAAUUUUAUAUUGUGUGCGAAAUUAAUUGAUUUGGUUUAAUAUAAAUAAAAAUGUAAUACUUAAUUACUCAGUAUUAGAUAAGUUUACUAUCAAUUAGUAAAAAGUAAUUAUAAUAAGUGAAAGUUAUUUUUAGAAUUUAAAGUUUAUCCAAAUGAAUUAUUAAUGCCAUUAGUAGAACUACGAAUGCACAAUAAGGGAAGAAUAUAUCAAUUUUAUUGAUAAAUCUAGACGCCUUUAGUGAAAUUUGCUGAUUCCCUUUGAAUAUUGUUUUUAAAAUUAUGAGUUCCAAAUAUAAAAUUCUAGUAUUGACUGAAUCAUACAACUAUAGAAUUCAAUUUGAAAAAAAUAUGUUAAAUUAAUUGUGAAAAAUACCUUAUUUAAAGAGUCAAGCCGACAUUUUUUUUUUCUUUCUUUUUAUUAUUAUAAAUAUGAAGUAAACAAACACCUGUUAAAUAAUUAUAUUCAUGUUGAAAUUAAAGCGUCCGGUGAAUUUAAAAAUUCUUUUUAGAGGGCCUGAAAAUGAAUUAUAUAUCGUUUCGAUAGUAAAAAAGUAAUUUCAUCAUUUUAAUAGUUUAUAUCUUUAUAAUUUUUAAAGAAUUAAAUCAAAAUUUAUUAUUUUUAGGGUCAAAGUACAAUUUUAUCAUUACUAAUUUGAAAUUUUAUAAAUUAUAAAAAACUUUAAAUAGAAAAUUUUCCAUUUUAAGGGGAACCGAAAUUCCUCUGGCUCCGCCCGACACACAUCACAGUUGCACAUAAUUAAUUAAUAGAUUAAAUCUUAUUACAUGUUUCUCAUUUUUAUUUCUUAUUUCAACGAAUUCAUCGUCACUAAGAUUGACUAAUUUGUCCUUUACAAUGAUCCAAAAGACUUUUCAACACUCUCAGUCUAAGGGGUUCCUCCGGAGUCCGUAUAUUAUGUUUCAAGUCAAUAAUUUUACUGUUUUUUUAUGGAUGCUGAAAAUAUGAUCAAUGUGCCCCUUUUCCCCCCUUAAAUUAUCUCAUUAUGCUGAAAAUUAUGUUAAAUUAAUUGUGAAAAUAUGUUAUUGAAAUAGUCAAGCCUUUUUUUUAAUGCUUUUACUAUUAUAAUGGCAGUACACUUGCAAAUAUAAAUUCAUGUUUAAGGCAAAGAAUUGAAAACAAUUCAUCAUUAGAUAUUUAUGAGUUAAAAGUUGGGUUGAGUCGAGAUCUAGUUUAAAAUAUUUUUCAAGUUUAAGUCUAUUUUCGGGUUAAAAAUUAAUAAAAUAUUAAAAAUAAAUUUUUAAUUGUUAUUUUAUAUAAUUUUAGAAUUAAAUUUUAAUUUUAAAAUAUUUUUUAUUAUUUAAAUUGAAUUCAAGUCAGGCCGGUUCGAACUGCAAAAAUUCUUGUCCAAAUCUGAUCUAAAAACUAAACUCAAUUACCCAAAUUAUUUAAAUUAUUUAUACUAUGUUAAUUAGCAAUUUAAAAAAUUUGUAAAAGUUGAACGUCGACAAUAACAAUAUAGAACGAUUGCAAAGCAAAAGAAAGAAAAAAUAAGAACACGAAGAUUUUACGUGGAAACCCUUUCGGGAAAAAAAGACCAUGGGUAGAGGAAAAAAAAAUUCACUAAUGUCGAAUUCGAAAGAUACAAGAGGAGUUUAGACUACGUCUAUUUAUAGGUUGAAAAAUCUUAUUCUAAUCAAUGUCAAAUUAUUAAAGAGUAGUAAGGUUAAAAAACCUUAUUCUAAUCAAUGUAAAGUAAAAGAAGUAUAGUUUUAUAUGAAUUUUAUUUUAUUUUUAUUUUAACAAGGACUCAAGUCACUCAACUCUAACAAUCUCCACCUUGACAUGAAUUCUCAACGAACAAGUUCUUCACCACGAACUCUUAACGAACAAGUUCUCCACCUAUCCCACGAAACCCUUUAAAGGGUGUUCUUCAACAAUGAAUACCAGUCAAGUCCAAGCAAUACUCAAACUUCUUGGUUAUAGGAAGUGGCUUAGUCAUCAUAUCCGUAGGAUUUUCAUGAGUACUAACUUUGCUCACAACAAUAUCACCACAAGCAAUAAUAUCAUGCACAAAAUCAUACCGAACAUCAAUAUGAUUUGUUCUCUCAUGAAACAUUUGAUCCUUCGUAAAGAAGAUGACACUCUGACUAUCACAAAACACUGUAUUGAUCUGAAGGUCUUUACUGAGUUCACCAAAGAGUCUCUUUAACCAAAUAGUUUUUUUACAAGCCUCGGUAAUCGCCAUGUACUCAGCUUUAGUAGUAGACAAAGCAACUGUAGUUUGCAAAGUAGCUUUCCAACUGAUUGUGCAACCUCCAAUUGUAAAGACAUACCCUAUGAGAGAUCUUCUUUUAUCAAGGUCUCCAGCAAAAUCAGAAUCAACAUAUGUAAUGACUCCAUCCCUAGUUCUUCCAAACUAUAAGCAAACAUUAGUAGUACCUCAUAAGUAUAUGAAAAUCCACUAAACUAUUUUCCAGUAUUCUUUAUUGGGAUUCGCCAUGUAUCUACUAAUUGCACUAACUAUACAUGACAAAUCUGGACAUGAGCAAACCAUAGCAUACAUGAGAGAUCCCAUUGCACUAGAAUACUGAUUGCAAAGACAAAACCGAUGAAAGUCUAAAGUGGGUUGCUAAUAGGGUCCUAAUAGGCUUGGCAUUCUGCAUAUUGAACAUGCAAAGAACUUUUUCAAUGUACCAUUUCUAACUUAGGUACAAUUUACAUGCUUUUCUAUCUCUGAGAAUCUCCAUCUCAAGUAUCUUCUUUACUGCUCCCAAACCCUUUAUCUCAAAUUCUUUAUUAAGUUGGGCUUUGACCUUUCUUAUCUCUUAUUUAUCUUUGGCUGCUAUCAACAUGUCAUCAACAUAGAAGAGUAGAUACACAAAAGAACCAUCACUGUUUUUCUUAAAAUAAAAACAACUGUCAAAGUUGCUUCUUUUGAAAUCAUGAGGAGUCAUAAAAAAAUCGAACCUCUUGUACCACUGCCUUGGUGACUGUUUCAAGCCAUAAAUGGACUUUUUCAACAAGCAAACAUAGUCAUCCUUUUCUGAUACAGUAAAAUCUUCUGGUUAUUGCAUGUAAAUAUCUUCCUCAGAUUCCCCAUGCAAGAACGUUGUAUUUACAUCUAACUACUCAAGCUCCAAAUCAUACAUGGCCACAAUACCAAAUAAGGCUCGAAUCGAAGUAUGUUUCACAACUGGAGAAAACAUAUCUAUGAAGUAUACACUUGAAAUCUGACUAUAACCUUUUGCAAUCAGCCUUGCUUUAUACAUGGGUUCUUCAACUUCAGAGUUCCUUAUUUCUUUUUGAACACCCAUUUACAACGAACAACCUUUUUACCUUUAGGAAAUCUUACUAGAUCCCACGUUCUAUUCUUAUAGAGCGAUUCCACCUCUUCUAGCGUGGCAAUCAUCCAUUUUCUUAAAUCUUCACAAUUAAUUGCCUCAGAAUAAGUAGAUGGCUUUUGAUUUGCAUCUAUAUCUUUAGCCACAUUUAAAGCAUAAGCAACUAGGUCGACCUCAACGUACCUCUUUGGAGGUUUAAUUUCUCUUCUAGGUUUAUUCUUGGUAGUAGAAUAUUGUGGUGAAGAACAACUCUACUCUAAGUUUUUAUACUAACUUAAGUGUUGGAUCACCAGCACCCCUAUGGCGCAGCGAAAAAAAUUAAAAUCGGCGACCCUAACCAUGGAUCCAUGUGUGAAGAACGAAUCGGGGUGAAAAGAUUACGAAAUUACCUAAUAUUUCGAUUAAGAAGAUAGUAACUUCUCGACAAUGUGUAGUCUGAUUUACAGUCAAACCAAGCCGCAAUCUAUCGAGACUCCAACCUCUACGUAAUCCACCCAGUUGACUACGAACGGAAGAAAAUCCCCAAAACAGUUUUGAGAGUUAUAUUUUUUUACGGCUGCUAGACCUUAAAAUAAUGAAAAACGGGAUUCUAAUAUAUCUCUUUUAUUUUUAGGGUUUUUAGGAAUUAAAUAAAUAUAAUAAUAUUUUAAACCGAAAAUUUUAAUUACAUUAAUUAUAAUAUAAUUUCGGUAAACCAUAUAUUUAUUUAAAUUCAUAUGCUAAUCAAAUUCAUGUCCUCAUUAUGCGUACAACAACCUUGUACAUAAUGUGUUGGAAAUUUGAUUACUGAAUUAAAUUAAUUCUAUAAUUAAUUUAAUUCAAGUGACACCCAAAAAUAAAACCAACUAUGGUUUAUUCCGUUCAUUUCAACUAUAGUGUGUGACCUUGUAGGUUCUUGUAACGUUAGCAGUAAUACUAGAACGAUUCCAAUGUUACAAACAAUGAGUGGCAUCUAGCAAUGCAUCAUUCUACCUAAGUCACAAGAGAUCAUGAUUCGACAUAACCUUUUAUGAUUAACCUUUUAUGCAAUAAUCCUUAAGUCCUUUAUCUCUGGAUUGGACACAAGUCAUGGAAUAGUCACACUUGUAUAGUCCAUUCCAUGUUCCUUGAUAUCUUAAGCAGACUACGAUAUACACAUAAGUAUGACAUCUCAUAUCAACUUAUUUGAGCAUGGCCAUGCAUUUCUAGUCUCACUUAAUCAAGUGGCCUAAGAUAUUACUCCCAUUAUGUAGGAGGGACUUAUUCUAUAUCGACCAACCAUAUCCCUCUACAUCGAUUGUGAUAUAUCCAACAUCAGCCUUUAUAGAACAACCAGUUACGGUGUACGUUUAACUGUAUCAAAAUAUAUUACUCACGAUGUUGGGAUUAUGAUGAUCUCAAGUCUGAGGAUCAUAUACAUAUUAAUCACUAUGAGUAAUGUCGUGACAAUUACAUAAUAAUCCAAGAGANNNNNNNNNNNNNNNNNNNNNNNNNNNNNNNNNNNNNNNNNNNNNNNNNNNNNNNNNNNNNNNNNNNNNNNNNNNNNNNNNNNNNNNNNNNNNNNNNNNNAGUCCAAUAUGUUGUUCUCUAACACACAUAUUCAUGCAUCGAUUCUGACAUUCCAUAUCAAUGACAACUCUUUAUCAUCAAUCAACUACAUGUUAGUCUUAAUGCAUUAUCCUUGUCCUAUCCAACAAUAAUACUUGACUAAGGAUCUUUUAAGAAUAAUCAUAUUAUUCUUAGGACAUUAUUAUAAAACAGCUUAUUUAUACACACAGAAAAGAAACUGAAAUAAUAAUGGUAACGCCUUAUAUUAAUAAACAUGAUAAAUCAAGUAUGUUAUUACAAUCAUCUCAUGAUUGGUCUUUGGGCAUACUCUAACAUUAAGAAGUAGACUCUGUUAUAGAUCCUGGAUCAAUCUGAAGCUCCACCUGUUUUUCCUGGUUAUUAUUGGAAGAGUUUUUAAGAGAUAAGUUAGGUAGCAUAGCAGUUUCAUAAAAAAAUAAUAUCUCUGCUAAUCACAACUUUUCUAUUUUCAGGACACAAUAAUUUAUAUCCUUUAACACCAGCCUUAUAACCAAGAAAAAACACAUUUAAUGGAUCUAGGUUCUAAUUUCCCACUAUCAACAUGAGCAUACACAGGACACCCAAAAAUUCUCAAAUUAGAAUAAUCAGUAGGAUUACCAGACCAUACAUUUUGUGGAGUCUUUUUCUCAAUGGCAACGAACAGAGACUGGUUAAUCGAAAAACAUGCAGUACAGGCCACUUCAGCCCAAAAUGACUUCGGUAAACAAGCAUUCGAUAACAUACAUCAAACUUUUUCCAUGAUUAUUCUAUUCAUCCAUUGUGCAAUGCCGUUUUGCUGUGGAGUAUGACGAACUGUCAAGAGUCGCAUGAUUCCUUUUGAUUUGCGCAAUUUAAUAAACUCAUCAAAACAUAAUCCCAUGCCAUUAUCUAUACGGAGGUGUUUUAUCUAUUUUCCUGUCUAGUUAUUGAUCAUAGUUUUCCAAGCCUUAAACACAAAAAACACAUCACUUUUCUGCAAAAAUCAUCAAUGAUUGUUAUCAUAUAAUUAGCGUCACCCUUCGAAGGCACUCUGGAUGUUCCCCAAAGAUCAGAAUGAAUAUAAUCCAGCAUUCUCUUCAUGUUAUGGAUUCCUCUAGUGAAUCAAACUCUCUUUUGCUUCCUAAAAACGCAGUGCUCACAAAACUUUAGUUUGCUAAUGCCUUGUCCAUCAAAAAGUCUUCUUUUGCUUAAUUCUACCAUGCUAUUCUCACUCAUAUGCCCUAGACAUAUAUGUCAAAGUCUAGUAACAUAAUCAUCUAACAAGGAAGAGGAAGCGACGGCUGCAUCACCAGUAACAGUAAAACCUUGCAAAACAUAUAACUUGGCAAUCUUUCUCUGCCCUUUCAUCACAAUGAGGGAAUCCUUACUAAUCUUUAGAACUCCACUUUCAGCUGUGCACUUGUGCCCUUUUGAAUCAAGAGUACUCAACAAAAUCAAAUUCCUCUUCAAUCAUGGUAAAUGUCAUAUUCCACUAAGUGUUCUGAUGACUCUAUCGAACAUUUUAAUUUUGAUCGUGUCAAUACCUGUGAUUUUACAUGAAGCAUUAUUUCUCAUCAAAACAACACUUUCAGACACAAUUUCAUAGGUUGUAGACCAAUCUCGAUUUGGACUCAUAUGGAACGUACAAUCAGAAUCGGGGAUCCCCUCCUCGCUCACUUUAAAUUUGUUGGCAAAAAUAACUAGAAGUUCACCAUCACUGUAGUUUUCUGCUACAUCAGCUUCACCGGAUUGUUCUGGUUGUUUUCCCUUUUGAUUCACAAUCUCCCUUUUGAUCUUGUUUUACAACUUAUAGCACUUAGAUUUAAUGUGCCCUUUCAUCUUGCAAAAGUCACAGGUUUUACCUUUGUUUGAAGAUCUUGAUCUACCCUUAAAUUUGCUGCUAGGAUUUCGCUCUUAUGUCCUCUAACGAUUAUCAUCAGUAUUUUGUUCUUGUCUACCACGAACAGUGAGACCCUUUCCCUGAGAGUCGGAUCCAACUACAGGAUGUUUCAUCUUGUCAUACGAGGCUAAAGGAGCAUAGACUUCAUCAACUGUGAUAGAUUCACAACUAUACAAAAUCGUAUCUCUAAAGGUUGAAUAAGACGGGGUAACGAAUAAAGUAGAAUUAAACCUAAAUCUUCUUUGUCAUACUAAACCUCCAUGGCCUCUAGGUCAGAGAGAAUUUUUUUAAACACAGUUAAGUGUUCGUGUACAGACGCACCUUCCUCCAAAUGAUAAGCAUAAAGACGCUGGUUAUAUGCAACUUGCUAGUUAAGGUUUUCGACAUGUAUAAUUGUUGCAACUUUGCCCGUAAUGCACCGACGAUCUUCUCAUUCAUCACGCCCUGUAGAAUUUCAUUUGACAAAUGGAGAUGUAAUUGUGUUAAAACCUUUCGAUCUUUACGUUUCUUCUCCUCCUCUGUCAAUGUCGAAGGCAUCUUAUCUACCCCUAGCAAGGCAUCCUCUAACUCCAUUUGCGCAAGAACUGGCUGCAUCUUUAUCUGCCAUAGUGCGAACCAGGUGUUGUGAUCUAGUAGUGGAAUAUCAUACUUCAAUGUCGCCAUUACCAUGAUCGAGACAAACAACCCGAAAAGCUCUGAUACCAGUUUGUAAAAGUUGAACGUCGACAAUGACAAUAUAAAACAAUCACAAAUCAAAAGAAAGAAAAAUAAGAGAACACAGAUUUUACGCGGAAACCCUUUCGAGAAAAAAACCACGAGUAGAGGAGAAGAAAAUUCACUAAUGUCAAAUUCGAAUGAUACAAGAGAAAUUUAGACUAUAUCUAUUUAUAGGUUGAAAAACCUUAUUUUAAUCAAUGUCAAAUAGAUGAAGUGUAGUAAGGUUGAAAAACCUUUUUCUAAUUAAUGUAAAAUAAAAGAAGUAUAAUUCUAUAUGGAUUUUACUUUUAUUUUAAUUUACCACUGUAUUUUAUUUUAACAAGGAUUCGAACCACUCAACUCUAUAUAUAUUUAAAAUCAUUCAAAUUUGAAAAAAUAAAUUAAAAUUAAAAAUAUUUUGUUGAAAAUCUGAAAAUUAUUUUUAAAAAGUCCCCCUCAUCUUCUUCAUCUAAAAGAAUGAAGAUUUUCACUGUCAUUUUUUUAUUUACUUAAAACUCUCAGAUCGUAAAAGAUUACUUUUUGUGCAUCCAAAUGAAAAACCCUCAACCAUCCCUUGUAGAAAAGAGAAGACUUGAAGCAAAUGGCACAAAUUCGAUCCGUUUGCGCUUUAAUUUCUAGCGAAAAGUUGGCUAUGUAACAUCAUCAAAACCAACCCUAAUAAAAUUUCUAACAUAGACAUAUUUUUUUAUUUAACUGCGAUUUGUUAUUUAGAAAAUCAUGGUUAUAAUAAAAUUUUAAAAUCAAUUAAAAUUCAUUAAAAUAAUUUUUUAUCUACGAAAUCAAAAUCUAAAUUAGAAAUUAACUGUUAUGCAUGAAGAAGCUUAAUACUAUUUUUGGUCUUUGUACUAUAGUGAAAUUCUUAUUAUGGCCUUUUAUUAUUUUUUGGUCAGAUUGUUUUCUCUAUUUCCAUUUCGUCACUAAGUUCGCCCUUUUAGCAAGUUUCAUUAAAAAUAUUAAAUCCACGAAUGACUUGCUGUGCCACAUUUAAAAAAAUUAAAAAUUUUACUUAAAAAAUUAAAAAUCCAAAAUAUCUCAAAAAUAACAAAAAUUUGAAAACAUAGAAUUUUUUUUUAAAAUAUCCUAAUCUACUUUUGAAAAUUAUAAAAAUUAUUUUUUUACAAAAAAAUUAUUUAAAAAAAUAAGAACUCAUUUAAAUUCCACAAAAAUCAUAAUUUUUUUAAAAGAGUCCCAAAAAUCUUAAAACACAAAAAAAUUAUAAGAUCUUAAUCUAUUUCAAAUUCACUUAAAAUUUAAAAAAUAUAAAAAAACUAAAAUAAAUCAUUAAAAUUCCCCAAAAAAACAUAAUUUUUUUUAAAUCCAGAAAAAUCUUAAAAUUCUGAAAUUUUAAAAAAAAUCAAAAUAUUAAUCUAUUUCAAAUUCACUUAAAAUUUUAAAAAUAUAAAAAACUAAAAAAUAUUAAAAUUCCAAAAAUAUAUAUAUUAAAAAAACACCCCCAAAAAAUCUUAUAACUUUGAAAAUUAUAAAAUAAACUUUUAAAAAAUCUUAAUCUAUUUUUGAAAAUUAUAAAAAAGAAAACCUAAACUUAUAAGUAUGCAGAACUUCAAGAAAAUAAAAAAAUCAUAAAAAUAUAAAAAAUGUUUUUCUUUUUUGAAUUUAGGGUUUUAUAAAAAUAUAGAAUUUUAUGAAAAAUUUUAAGAAUUUUAUGGUAAUUUUUACUUAGGAUUUCCAAAAAAAAAAAAAAUCCCAUAAAUUUCUUCUAAAUUUUAAUAAAAUUCCAAAAUUUUAUAAAAACCUAAAAUUUUCUACAAACCUAAAAUUCCAAAAAGAAACUCAUUUUUUUUAACUUUUUUUCAAAGUUUCGCAUGCUUAUACUUUUUUUUUUCAAAAAAUAUAGUUUUGAAAAAUAUAUUAAGAUUUUUUUAGUUUUUUUAUUACUUUUCUAUGUUUUUAUAAAAGAACCAAAGUGAGAAUUUCAGAUAUUAAGCCAAAAGAUAUUACCUUUUAUUUGAGUUUAUUUAGAGUGAGAUUUCACCGUAUGCAAACAAAAGAGAAUUACAAUACAAAGCAGAUCCUCUCUUUUCCUCCUUUCUUUUUCCGUAGUUUUCUUCUUCUUCUUCUUCUUCUUCUUCUUCCUCUCUUGUAAACUUCUUUUCUUUCUCCUUUACAUGCUUCACUGUUCUCUUCACCUCUCUCUUUUUUCUUCUUACCUUUUUUUGCUUUUCCAUGCAAAAUGAGGCAGGAGGCCAUGCCACCCUUAAAUGUUAAUAACACUGACAAAUAACAUAAUAAUCUAAACUAAAAAAUUAAUAGUCAAAAUCCAAAAUAAAAUCGAGCUAUGAAAGUGUAGCAACAUUCAACUUAGAUUUUUCAAAUUAAACCUAACCCUAGAAUUCAGAUUUAUUGAAAGUGACUUUAAAAUUAAGUUUAGCCCGGAUAAAAAUAAUACCUAUAAUAUAAAUAAUAUUUUUUAAUUAUUUUUUAAUCAAAUUGAUGUUUGAUUAAUGGGUGAUACCGAUACAAAAAAUUUAAAUAGAAACAUAAAUUCUAAUUUAAAUGUUUUAAAAGAAAAUACUAAUUGUUCAAGACUGUAUUUAAUUCAGUUCGUUUUUCUUCGAUUUGUCCUUCUAUUAGAUGAAAAAAAAACUAAUAAAACGACUCGUAAAUUAAUACAUAUUAAUAUUUUUAUUUUUAUCGUGUUAUUGAAAACUAUGGGAUAUUUUACUUUUGAAUUUCAUAUAAAUAUUAAAUGUGCAUAUAAACUCUUCAAGGAUAAUUUAAUUAUUAUUUAAUAAGAAAAUUUUAAGGUAAUAAAAAUUGUAUGUGAGAGAACCCGAUGUGAUGGCUCGAGCUGAUGUGAGUUUCUUUAUUGGCCUAAUAAUAAAUUUAGUCUUCUAAUAUUUACACGUUCUACCCAAGUUUGGAAGUUACUGAUGAUGAUAUGUCCAAGUAAAAAAAAAGGCGAAAAAAAACAAAUUUUCUAUGUUUUGAAAGAUUUCGCAUUUCAUUGUUUCCUCUAUUUGAAUAUUAAGUAUUUGUACAUUUUUUAAAUAAGAAAAACAUGGAAAUAAUUAUUUUGUAAUUGUUUAAAGAAUUGUUAAUUUAUUUAGAGGAAUUGAUUCUUAGAUUAUAUGAUAUUAAUCUAAAAUAUGACACUAAAAUAGUUGGAUUUAAGCCAACUUGAUUUUUUACCAUAUUCAAAAAGGCGAUAUUAAUUUAAAAAGAGCACAAUACAAAUAGUGUUAAAUACUCUUCUUGUUUAGUAUAUUUUGGAGGUACGUUAAAGAAUAUUUAAAAAAAUUUAAAUACUUUCCAAUUUUCUAUUGAAAUUUUUAGAAUUAGAACUAAACUGACAAAUUCUGUGAUGGCUAAAUUUAUUGAUUUUUUUUAGAAUUCGAACUAAAAUGACAAAUUUUGUAAACAUUUAGGGCUAAUUUUGUUGAUUUUGUUUUAGAUUUAGGAUCAAACUGAUAGAAUGUGUAAAUAUUGGAGGCUAAAUUUGUUAUUAGAUCAAUAAAAAGGGCUUACCGAGCUUUUCAUCACUCAUCUAACAACAACUAACGAGAGAGUGACUAAAAUAUUUAAUUUCAAAAAAUUGAGUGGCAAAAUGGAAAAAAAAAUCAAUAGUCAGGUGACCAAAUAGAACCGAAGGCAUAAUUGGUGACUAUUGUUGUAGUUUACCCUUUUAGUAAUUAAAAUUAAUUUCUUUCAAUAAGUUCAAAUAAUAGAAAAUAAUUAUUUGAUAAUUAAAUGAAGAACUACAUUGGUAGUCACUCAACUAUUAGUAUUUUUUUUUGUCAUGCAACUAUGAAACUUUACAAAAAUGGUCAAUAAUUAUUCAACUUUUUUCUAUUUGGUCAACCAACUACCGGCCAUUAAUUUAUACAUUGUGUCAAUUUAGUCUUGAUUCAAAAAAAAUUAACCCUCAACAUUUACACAUUGUGUCAUUUUUUUUUGCAGUUUUACUUUUAUUUGUGACAUUGAGGGUUAAUUUUAAAAGAAUGAGAAAAUAUGAAAAUUAUUAUCUUGGAUUUUGGGUGUUUUCAUUUUUGAUAUAUUUCCGAUUAAAUUUAGUUGAUAGAUUGUUUUUCUUAGCUUAUUAGGUGAAAGGGUCACAAAGAAAAACAAAGAAAAAAUACCAAAUUACAUCAUGUGUAAACACUGAGGGUCACAAUGUAUAAAUGUUGAGUGCUAAAGUUGCUAUUAUGCCAAUUUUAAAAGUUAUACGUCACCUUUUAUUCAAUCAUUCAACGACUAGUGAAAACGAAAAAACCAAAUAGUUGAGUGACCACUUCGUAACUUUUCAUAAUUGGGUGGCUAAAAAAAGAAAAGUACUAAUAGUUGGAUGACUUGAAAUGUAAUUUACCCUUAAAUAAAACAAUGGAUAAUUUGUGAUUGGUGUCCCAAAAUUAUAAAAAAGAAACUAUAUUUGCUAUAAGAAAGGUUAUAUCAACUAGAUAGACUAUAGUGGACAUUAAAUGACGUACCAUAAAAAAUAAAAAGAAAAGAACAAACAACUUCAAAACCUAUAUAUAUAUAUAUAUACAUAUAUAUAUAUAUAUAUUAUUUAAAGGUUGUAUUCUUUUGACUUAAAAAGAAUAAUUGAGGCUAAAGAGAUUGCAAUGAUUUAAGCAUGUUAUUCAUGACUAUAAUGUUUUGGAAAAAUAUAUAAUAUUAUACUUUUUGUAAAAUCAUAAGGAGCGUUAAUGAUUGACAAGUAUCUUAUAAGAAUAUAGUAAAUUUUUUUAAAAAAUACACAUUAUAGUUUUUUAAGACUGUUUGUGAAAUUAAAAAAAAUACACUACUAAUGUACAAAAUACGUAUUGUCGAAACCGUUUUUUGAAAACAAAAAUUUUAGUUUCGACUUAAAAAUAAAAACAAAAACUGGAGUCGCCACCGAUCAUUUAUGAAGGUGUGAUCGGCCCACCUUAAAAAUAAUUUUGGUCUGCGAAAUUCGAGAAAACAGGCUCGGGAGUCAGUUACGCACGAGGAAGGAUUAGCACCCUCGUAACGCCCAAAAUUGGUACCAAAUUGAUUUUUUUUAAUGCCUUGGUGUCGAAAAUUUGAAAAGAUUUUAAAAGGAAACUUUUUAUUUCAUGAAUGGAUUAAAAUAAAAAGACAUUCGUAUUUCAAAGAAAUAAAACACCACACCCAGUGAGUUAGGGCACAAUGUUUUUAAAUCUUCAAAAUACCCGAAUAUUGCCUUUUGCUUUUGAAAAUUCUUAUUUCGAGAAGAAAAUGUCAUGACCAGUAAGUUAGGACCCAACAUUUCGAAUUCCCGAGAAUAAGUUUUUAUUUAAAAUUUGAAUUUAUUGCAAAACAAAUAUUUGGCUUUCUAAACUCAUCGAAAAAUAAUCGCGAUCCAAUAAGUUAGGACACGAUCUUUCACGAGAAUCAUGAAUACCAAAUAUUUUGGAAUUUAUAAAAUAAGAUGAUUUAAAUACUUUGAGAAAACAUAUAUUUUCUUUAAAAGCAAGAUAAAAUGUUAAUAUACAACAUGAUACACAUAUUUUAAUUUAAAUUAUAAAUGUGCAUGUAUUUACAAAAUAUAUAUAAGUGUAAUACACAAGUAAAUUUGAAAAUAUGUGCAUGCGUAUGUUUAACACACAUACACAAAUAUACAUAAAAAACAUGCAUAGCAUAACUUAUAAUAAUCUCCAAAAAUAUGUACGUAUAUUUCAUAAAACAUGCAUAUGUACAAAAAAAUAGAAAAAAAAAAUGCAUAUGCCUUGUAAAAUAUGAGAGUACAUACAUAUAUAUAUAUAUAUAUACAUAUUUAUUUAUAAAAACUAUGUAAACAAAAUAUAUAUAAAAUAUGAGCGUAUAAGGACUUCAAAGGAGAUUGGAUUGGUUACUUCAGUCUGCUCCACUGCAACUUCAGGGAGAUAAGACUUGUAUAUUCGAUCUACUUCACCACCAGUAUGGGAAGACAAGAUCUGUUUUCUUCGAUCUACUUCACGCCAAUACAUGAGGACAAGAUCUGUUUUUUCAAUCGAUUCCACUGCCGACCGGGGAGGUAGAAUUACUGGCUUCAAUAUACUCCGCUGCAACCUCAGGGAGGUAAAAUCCGCCAUCUUCGAUCUGCUCCACUACUGCUUAGGGAGAUAAGAUCUGUAAUCUUCAAUUUGCUCAACUGCAAUGUCGGGGAAACCAGAUCCGCCGUCGUGGCUUCAAUCUAUUCCACCGCACCGUUAGAGAAGUAAGAUUUGCCGUUGUGGCUUCAAUCUUUUUAAUUGCAAUAUCAGGGAAACCAAAUCCGCCGUCGUAGCUUCAAUCUGUUCCACUGCACUGCUAAGGAAGUAAGAUCCGCCGUUGUGGCUUCAAUCUUUUAAAUUGUAAUAUCAGGGAAACUAGAUCCGCCGUCGUAGCUUCAAUCUGUUCCGCUGCACUGCUAAGGAAGUAAAAUCCGCCGUUGUGGCUUCAAUCUUUUUACUUUUCAACCCGCUCCAUUGUUACUCACGGAGACAAGGCUUUAUGAUUUCACCGAUCUGCUCUCUGUGGAACAUGACCUGUAUGACUCACUUUAUGAGCCUAAUUAUGCCUAAUGAUUAGGAUGUCAUGAUCAGAAUGAAUCAAAUGCUCCUAACUAGGCGUGUAUAAAUGACAUUUGAAUAUUAUGUCAUGAAAAAUGAAUAUUGAAUGUGUAAAGUCAUUAUUGCUCAUUAAGGCUUCCUUCGUGGCAACAACGCUUCGUCAAAACUUGAAAAAUUUAAAAUCUCGACUCUUGGCUCCUAGAUAUCUCCGACCUUUUAACCCAGUGAAGGUCUAAACAAUAGUCCUGUUUCAGGUUCCUGAGUUAUUUAAAGAUUUCUAGAGUAAUAUGAAAAACUUCCCUUGUGAAAGUUUUACUAGUCCAUUAAUCGUCAUUCUAAUGCAACAUGCUUGCGAAAAGAUCAUAACGAUAACAUAAACAAAAUUAGUCUGGGAGGAUAGCUCGCAAUGGAUUGUCAAUGAUAGAGGAAUUGUCUGGGGACAUUUAUAUUGAAAAAAAAUGUCAUAAUUUAACAAUGAAUUCAAUACAAAUACUAUGAACAUGUGCCCCAGAUAUCUCUGCUUGAAUUUCUCUAUACAGCUUUCGAAGACCCUUUUGAAUUCAACACGUGUUUAGGAAAUUCACAGUAUUUUGUUGAUGCCCCAAGAUGUCGUCUAUUCCUUUCUGUCGAUUUAGGUACAGCAAGACUACCACGUGACAACCAAAAUUUGAGCCGCCCUUUUUGGGUUUUCAACUCAAAUCCCCUUUGGUCUUAAGGUGCCCUUUGCGGGUUUUCACCUUAGCCUCUCCUUUCCUUUUCUUUUCUUUUCUUUUUUUUUUUUGGAAUCAAAGCGCCCUUUGCGGGUUUUCACCUUGGUUACUUCCCUUCUUCAAGUAAAGUACCUCUUCACCGAAUCUGAAUUUACCGGAUUAGGCAAGUUUUUCCCGUCCAUUUCAGCCAGGAUCAGGGCUCCUCCAGAAAAGGCCUUUUUUACAACAUAAGGACCCUCCCAAUUCGGCAUCCAUUUCCCCUUAAAAUCCUUUUGUAGAGGAAGAAUUUUUCUCAACACCAGGUCCCCCUCGUGAAAUUCUCUGGGUCGGACUUUCUUGUUGUAGGCUCGCAUCAUUCUUUUCUGGUAUAUCUGACCGUGCUGAAUAGCCUUUAGCCUCUUUCCCUCUAUCAAGUUCAACUGAUCGUAUCGAGAUUGAACCCAAUCCGCUUCAUCCAAUUGUAGCUCAGACAAAACCCGGAGAGAAGGGACUUCAACUUCGAUGGGCAACACUGCCUCCAUGCCAUAAACUAAGGAGAAAGGCGUUGCCUCGGUGGAGGUCCUGGUUGACGUUCAAUAAACAAGGAGGGCAAACGGUAAUUUCUCGUGCCAGUCCAUGUAAGUCUCAGUCAACUUCCCUACAAUCUUCUUUAUAUUUUUAUUGGUCGCUUCUACUGCACCAUUCAUUUUCGGGCGAUACGGCGACGAAUUGUGAUGUCUGAUCUUGAAUUGACUGCAGACCUCUGCUAUUGAGCUGUUGUUCAAAUUCAACGUAUUGUCGGAUAUGAUUCUUUCAGGCAUUCCAUACCGACAUAUGAUCUCUCUCUUCAAGAACUUACUGACUGAUGACUUUGUAACAUUAGCAUACGAAGCAGCUUCUACCCAUUUGGUGAAGUAGUUAAUAACCACGAAUAUGAAAUGAUGCCCAUUUGAAGCCUUUGGCGAUAUUGGCCCGAUAACAUCCAUACCCCACAUGGAGAAAGGCCAUGGAGAAGUCAUGACAUGAAGAGGUGAAGGAGGUGCAUGCAUUUUAUCACCAUAGAUUUGACAUUUAUGGAACUUCUUGGAAUAAUUGAUGCAAUCCCCUUCCAUGGUAGACCAGUAGUACCCGAAUCUCAUAAUCUGCCUAGCCAUUGUGAACCCGCUGGCAUGCGUUCCGCAGAUGCCCUCAUGGACUUCUUCUAGAAUUUUCUUUGCUUCUACGGCGUCCACACAUCUUAGCAGUACCUGAUCUUUUCCCCUCUUGUACAAGAUCUCCCCAUCUAAGACGUAGUCAAUGGCUAGUCUUCUCAGAGUUCUCUUUUCAUUCUCCGUUGUCUGGCCAAGAUACUCACGAUUUUUUACAUACCGUAGUAUAUCUUGAUACCAAGGACUAUCAUCGAUUUCCCCUUCUUCAAUAUUGUAACAAUGAGCCGGGUCUUCAUAGAUACUCAUUUGGAUUGGUUUCAUAUCCCCAUUUCUGUUCAGUUUGAUCAUGGAAGCUAAGGUAGCUAGUGCAUCAGCCAUCUGGUUCUCAUCUCGUGGGAGAUAGCAAAAAGUGAUGUCCUCAAACUCCUUAAUCAAUUCGAGGACCAACUUUCGGUAACUGAUUAAUUUGGGAUCUCUCGUUUCCCAUUCACCCCUGAGCUGAUAUAUCACCAAUGCUGAAUCUCCAUAGACCUCUAGCACUUUGAUUCCUCGCUCUAUAGCUGCACGAAUACCCAUGAUGCAUGCUUCAUAUUCUGCCAUGUUAUUUGUACAAUCAAAAUCCAAUUUACAAGUGAAAGGAUAAUGAUCACCAUUUGGGGACACCAGGACUGCCCCAAUUCCAUUGCCUACAGCGUUCGAGGCUCCAUCAAAGUUUAGCUUCCAACUGUGACCUUCUUGGGGACUUUCUUCAGUAGCGGCUACACACAUCAGGUCCUCAUUUAGGAAAUCAAAACUCAACAGCUCGUAGUCCUCCAGAGCUCUACUAGCUAGAAAGUCAGCAAUUGCACUCCCUUUCACAGCCUUUUGGUUCACAUAGACAACAUCAAAUUCAGACAAUAAAAUUUGCCAUCGGGCCAUUCUCCCAUUCAAAGCAGCUGACUCCAUCAUAUACUUUAACGGGUCUAACUUUGAGAUCAGCCAAGUCGUAUGGUAUAACAUGUACUGCCUUAAUCUUCGGGUUGUCCAAAUCAAGGCACAGCAUAAUUUCUCAAAUAGGCGAAUAUCUCAUUUCACAGUCAGUGAAUUUCUUGCUGAGAUAAUAUAUCGCUCUUUCUUUCCUCCCCGUUUCAUCAUGUUGACCUAACACACACCCCAUGGAAUUGUCAAAUACCGUUAGAUACAAUAUCAGAGGCCUAUCCGGGUUAGGUGGUGACAGCACUGGAGUAUUAGACAAAUACUGUUUCACUUUGUUGAAAGCUUCCUCGCAUUCCUCAUCCCAAGUACCAGGAUUAUGUUUCUUCAGAAGACGAAAUAUAGGGUCACAUUUCUCAGUCAGUUGUGAAAUAAACCUAGCGAUGUAAUUCAGUCUUCCUAGGAAACCUCGAACUUCUUUCUGAAUGCGAGGUGAAGGUAAAUCUCGUAUUGCCUUGACUUUGUCUGGGUCAAUCUCGAUUCCCUUUUCACUGACUACAAAGCCUAGCAACUUUCCUGACCUGGCCCCAAAAGUGCACUUCGCUGGAUUAAGCUUGAGUUAGAACUUUCUCAAUCUUAAGAAUAACUUUCUCAAGACCCACACAUGUUCGCCCUCUGUUCUAGAUUUCGCGAUCAUAUCAUCAACAUAAACCUCGAUUUCCCUGUGCAUCAUGUCAUGGAACAAGGCUACCAUGGCUCUUUGGUAUGUCGCUCCUGCAUUCUUCAAUCCAAACGGCAUCACUUUGUAACAGAACGUCCCCCAUAACGUAAUGAAUGUAGUCUUCCUCAUGUCUUCAGGAUGCAUCUUUAUCUGAUUGUACCCAGAAAAACCAUCCAUGAAGGAAAACAGUGAAAAGCCCGCAGUAUUGUCUACCAAUGUGUCAAUGUGAGGCAAUGGGAAAUUAUCCUUUGGACUAGCCUUGUUCAAAUCCCGAUAAUCCACACACAUUCGUACUUUUCCAUCNNNNNNNNNNNNNNNNNNNNNNNNNNNNNNNNNNNNNNNNNNNNNNNNNNNNNNNNNNNNNNNNNNNNNNNNNNNNNNNNNNNNNNNNNNNNNNNNNNNNCUUGCAGAAACCCGGCAUCAAACUGCUUUUGGACCUCCUCCUUUUAUCUUCAACACGAUAUCAGGCCUCAUCCUUCUGAGUUUUUGCUGCACUGGCUUGCAAUCUUCUCUUAUAGGGAGACGAUGGACUACCAUGUCGGUACUCAACCCCGGCAUAUCCUGGUAUGACCAUGCAAACACGUCUUUGAACUCUCGGAGUAAUUCAAUGAGGUCCUGCCUUGUCCUUUCAGAGAUAACCGAUCUGAUCUUCACCUCUUUACCCUCCUCUAAGCUCACGACUUCUAUUGAUUCCCUGUGAGGUAGGAUUUAUUUCUCGGCCCUUUCUACCAUCUUUGACAAGUCAGGAGACAAACCACAGUCUUCGUUGUCUUCAAAAUUAUGCGAUCCCUCUAAACACAUGUUUCGUUCAAAAGGAGACUCUAAAUUUGUAAGAGUGACAUUCGCAUCAUUGAUAUCAUGGGACCUGUUAUAAGUAUGAAAAACAAUAUGGAUUCAGGAAUUUGUUUGGUGCAAUAUGGUCAUGAAUGAAAUGCAAGUGUAGUUUAAGAGAAACUUAAAAUAACUGCUCUUAUGGGAAGAAAGAUUUGCUCCAAAAAUGAUUGCAAACAUGAACUUUAUUAAAAUAACGAUUUUCUGGACAUGAGCCUAUUUCACAAAGGAAUCCUUAUCACUUCUAGGCUAAAAGGCAAUAAGGGUGUUCUGGACAUUACUCUGGGGAAAUCCUAAAAACUACAGGUAUUUCUUCUGCAGUCCAGUUGUUUAGCUCCCUUUCCGACUCGUAAGGACGAAUAUCUGGCAAAGCUCUUCCUCGCGUCACUUCUUCAUACACAACAUGAAUACUCUCUAGCUCCAUGUUAAUACUUCUGACCCCUAGCAUUCUUUGAUAGGUGAAUCCUCCCGGUACAAAAGUCUUGGAUAGGUGAGGAAAGGUCAUGGGUUCCCAUUUGACUUCAUCACCUGUCAAGCGAGCCCUUCUCCGCACUCGCUUAUUUUCCUGCUCUAUCCUCUUCUGCCUAGCAUCUGGCUUGUAUUCUAAGCCAAAACGAUCCUGCUUGUCUUUCAACACUAGAGCCUCAACUCGGCCCUGAAGAUAUCUCCCCAAUCCUCUUCUCGGUAAUGCUCCCUUUCCAACAGUCAACUGCAGACCCAUCUCUGUGGUCCUGGAUAUUCUCGGCAUCGGGAUCUUGUUUCCCUCACGGAUGAAUGUUGCAUUUACAAACUCCAAGGAACGAAAAGAGCAUUCGAUUGGAUCAUCGCUCGUUUCUAGAUAAGUCGCAUCGUUGGUCACAGAUGCAAUGAUAUCUUCUUCAGCAUCUAUCGUCACAACCCUGCCUUCUGACACCAGCUUCAGUUUUUGAUGUAACGAUGACGGUACCGCACCUGCUGAAUGAAUCCAUGGCCUUCCUAAUAGGCAACUGUAAGAAGGCUUGAUGUCCAUAACUAAGAAGUCCACCUCAUAAAUAGUUGGGCCAAUUAACAAGAGAAUGUCAACUCUUCCCAUGACCCUCCUCUCAGUACCAUCGAAUGCUCGAACCACGUUCUGACACGACUUCAUAUGCGAACUAUCCACAGGUAGCCUGUUGAGCGUGGAUAGGGGAAAUACAUUUAAUGCCGAUCCAUUGUCUACCAGAACCCCCGGUAAUAUGCACCCUUUACACCUUGCAAUGAUGUGUAAAGCUCUAGUGGAUCCCAUACCCCCAGGUGGUAUUUCGUCAUCGCUGAAAGAGAUGAAGUUAUCAGCGCUUAUAUUACCGACCAGUCGAUCCAACUUGUUAAUAGAGAUAUCAUCGGCCACAUAAGUUUCAUUUAGCACCUUCAGUAGUGCAUUCUGAUGUCCCUCCGAGUUCAGGAGUAAAGCUAGCACAGAUAUGCGAGCUGGUUGUUUGUGCAGCUGUUCCACAACGCUGUACUCGCUAUGUUUUAUGAACUUCAAGAACUCUCUAGCUUCCUCCUCCUUGAUUGGUUCAUUGACCACCAAUUCAGGUUCGACCGUCUUCUUCUUCUUUCCAAUCAGAGUUUCUUCUCUUAUUGGCUCUACUCGAGCCUUCACCUGUUCGUUAUACCCUCCUUCAUCAUGGUCCUCCUUCCCUGGGAUUGUCACAUUACAAUUGUAAUGCCAAGGAACCCUCCUGUUAUCCUUGUAAGUAAACGCAGUCGGUUUUUGAAUGAUAACCCUUGGUGCUACUCGUGCUCCAGCCUCACUAUUCUUAGGUUGUGAGAUGAUGACCACAGGAUGGUUAACCUUUGGAACUCCCAAUGCCAACUCUGACGUACAUACAUGACUCUCUUUCUGAAUUCCUUCCCAAAAUUCCAUCUCUUUAUUAUCUAUCAUACCCUGUACCACGGCUCUGAACUCCGUACACUCCUGGAUUUCAUGCCCCAUUUCACAGUGGAACUCACAGUAGUUCCUCCUCUUCUCACAGCUUUCUUCUGAAGGAAUUAGCCCCCUUUUCACCAUCUCUUUCCAGACCCAUCUCAAAGGAGUCUUCACGUCCGCAAUGUCUACCUUAAUUCUCAUGUCUUCGUCCAUCAUAUUUACCCCACCAUCAGUGUGAUUUGGUAAUGGGUUCUCUGCCUUGGUGGCUUCAUCAAAUUUAACGACACCCAUACCAAUGAGCCUUUCAACCAGCUUCUUGAAGGCCGUACAGUUUUCUAUGGAGUGCCCCGUGAUUCCCGCAUGAUAGUCGCACUGUGCAUUUGCGUCGUACCAUUUGGGGGACGGGGGCUGUAAGGGCUUCAGAUAGAAAGGGGAAACUACAUGUGCGUCGAAUAAGUUUCGGUAUAAUUCCCUGUACGACAUGGGAAUUGGCGUGAAUUGGGGCCUCUCCGUAUUUCGCCUUGUACCGACCUUCUGUCUCGACAAGCUUUGUUGAUUGGCAGCCGUCUUUCCUGGCUGACUCACUGUUACUGACUUCGAGUAACCCUUGUUGUACAUGCUCACGUUGUUCACCUCGUUUUCCUUCCUUUUCGAAGCUGAUCUUCUGUUACUCUCUCCAGCAUCGAUCUUCCCACUCCUGAUGGUGUUCUCAAUCAUCUCGCCAUUCAUGACUAUGUCAGGAAAGCUUUUUGUGGCACUUCCUAACAUAUGUGUAAUGAACGGUGCCUUCAGGGUGUUAAUGAACAACAUGGUCAUUUCCUUUUCCAAGAGCGGUGGUUGAACUUGGACCGCGACCUCCCUCCAUCUCUGUGCGUACUGCCUAAAGCUUUCGCUCGGCUUCUUCUCCAUGUUUUGAAGGGUGAUCUUAUCAGGAGUCAUGUCUGUCACAUGACUAUAUUGUUUCAUGAAUGCUUGCGCCAAGUCCCUCCAUGAACCAAUCGUAGCUCGACUCAACUGAUUGUACCACUUGGAUGCUGCCCCUGCAAGGCUGUCUUGGAAGUAAUGUAUUAAUAGCUGGUCAUUACUAACGUAUCCAGCCAUUCGCCUGCAGAACAUGGUGAUAUGAGCCUCUGGGCAAGUCGUCCCAUUGUACUUCUCGAAUUCAGGCAUCUUAAACUUAUGAGGGAGAACAAGAUCCCGCACUAAACUCAGCUCUUUUGCGUCAAUGCCUCGAUAGCUUUCAGUAACUUCCAUCGCCUUGAACUUCUCCUCAAGCCACUUGCAUCUCUCUUCCAACUGUCUCGGUAACUCCUCCUUCACUCUUUCCUUCUCAACUACUUCAUCAAAGUCAGGAAUGGCAGAGUUAAUAGGAUUAUUUUCGGGAUUAAAACACGGCCCAGUUUGGAGGUUCGAAACACCAGCUUGAAAUUGCUGAGGCAUGAUUGUGACAGUAGAUUUGCGCGGGUAUUCAUCUUGAGUUCGCUCAUGUGGAGGGGUGAAACCUGGAGGAUAGAAAAGUUCAUCAUCAUUUCCCUCAUCGACAUCUGCCAUGGGGCCCUUUCCUUUGUCACCUCCCUUAGUUAUCAGUCGGGUUAACUUUGCCACUAUAUCCUCUUGAGAUUCCCGCAUCUUCUCAGACAUUUCUUGUUUCAUCUUGUCUAACCGCUCCUGCAUUUGUAGCUGAAUCCAGUCUUGCAUCUCCUUCUGGUACUGUUCGAGCUUUUCUAAUCUCUGAUCCAUAUCUCUUGUCUUUGUUCGAGUGCCGUAUCGGUGUUGGAUUGGUUGGUUGGUUUCCAGGUUAACUGAGCAAUAAUUUUAAUUAAUUAGGAUCAAUUCAAAGUUUUGAAUGCAUAUGAUGCGAUGCAUGAGAUGAAUGCAAGAAAGGCGUUAAUUAUGAUUCAAUUCCACUUGGAAAACUUUAUUAGAAAACAAAUCUCUUUACAUAGAAUAGACUACAAAUACGACUUCGCCCUAAUACUUAAGACCUUGAUUUUUUGAAGCAACGAGGCUAACUCCCGUCCCCGGUCUGACUCCAAUUCAUACUUUACGCUCAACGUGUCAGCUUGUACUGCCAGAGUUUGUAAGUGAUCAGCUACUUCUCGAAUCUGAACCAAGGCUUGUCCCAUAACACGAUCCCUGCUUCUGACCUAAUUCUGGAGAUAGUGAAGCUGUUCGCUUUGAUGAUCUUUGUUUGCCUCCAAAUACUCAAUCCUGGCUUCACAGUUCUGCAAUGCCACCUCUAGUUCUUCUAUAGUUUUCUUCAUUUGCUCGAUUCUACUUAAACUUGCUUGCAGUUCCACCACUGAAUUACGAUUUCGGUAUUGAUGAACAAUCUUCUCAAGUUCGGCCACUCUAGCCCUUAGUUUAUCCCUUUCAUCUUGAUUUUCUGACAAACUCUUCUCAAGCGAUCUAUUUUGCAUCUGGGCUUCUUGGAAUCUUUCUUCCCAUCUGCCAGCCUUGGCUUUUUCUUCUUGAACCUCUUGACGCCACUGCUCUGAGGUUUUUCCCAACCCAGCAGUUCUUACUGACAGACGUAGUCUCUUAUAAUCCGUCUUCAAGCUGUUCAAAUCUUCCUCGACUUUGCGCUUCCCUUUUCUCAGGCCUUCGGUUUCCUGCAUUUGAACAUCUAUGUCCAACUUUAAAUUCACCUUUUCCUCCUCCAUUUUCUCUAUUUUCUUCUCUAAUUCUGCAUUCCUUCUUUCGAGGUCUUAAUUUAUGAUUUCCAGCUCAGAAGGGACGACGCACAAAUGCUCCUCUAUCGACUGACUAUUUUCUGAACUUGGCCCGGGAAUGUUGUCAUUAAUCCUCCUAACACGCCAUUCGUUAUAUUCAGAAGUUGUCAUUGGACCCACGGCUAAUCUCUUCAUUCGGCGAGUCUGAUUCCACGCAUUGGCCAUCUCACGAGCCUUCCUUUUGUAGCCAUCAUCCUUAUAUGAGAAUUCACACUCAGCUAGUCCUUGAGUGGCAGGCACAAACUGUCUUGACCUGUACUGUCUUAACACUAGCAAUGGGGCAUAACCAACAGCUCCCCAAAUCCCGAGCAACGGAACCCAGUCGAAAUCGCCACACCUAUAUAGGAUCUCAUCUGGAAGCAACCACGGAGCUCUCCACUCGAUAUCUUCUUCUUGCAGAUUCUGAAAGAUUGCCAUCCAUUUCUCCUCUGUAAUAUCAUCUCUCCUUGAUGCAGCCACUAUCUCUUUCAACGGUGAAUAACUUUCAGAGAAGACCUGAUAUGAAACCUUAUCAACCUUCCAAAAGUGGCUAUGGAACCACCCAAGUAAUAACUGCGCACAUCUAAAAAAUCUGCCCUCUCCCGUUCUUCGGCAUGCAUUUAAUGACCUAAAGGUUUCUGCCAAAAUCACCGGAACUGGCGUAACUCCCUUGUCAAGCCGGUCGAAUAAAUCAGUGACCGCCUAAUCAACAUGUCCCAAAAUCUUAGGAAACAAGAUUAGACCAUAUAUACUUAGAGCAAAGACGUCCACUUUCUUCCUCGCAUCUGGGUGUGCUAAAAUGAGGUCCUUCAAGUUUUUCCAAGGAAUACACCUACUAUCCCCUUUUUGCUUAAUCCGAGCUGUAACCCACUACUCAUUUAUCCCUGUUAUACUCAUCAACUUCCUCAAGAAGGUUGGUACAUUCACCGCUUUCGAAUAAAUUCUAUCCACCUGUACCUUCGAACACCGAAGUAAAGCCGUGUACUCCUCUAUUGUAGGCACUAGGUCAACCUUUCCGAAUGUGAAGCAACUGUACGCCGGAUUCCAAAACUGGGCAAGAGCUCGAAACAGACGGUUGUCUACCUUCAUGUCAAGUAAAUAAGGUAAAUCCCCAUAAUUUGAAUAGAAUAGCUGUCUAACCUCAUUAUCCCAUUGAUCCCAAAUCUCCUUCAAUUCCUGCAAGUUGUUCUGAGCUACGCUAACACGAGUGAAGUCCCAUAACUCUGAUACGUAUCCCACGGCCAAACUAUCACCUUUUUCAUGCUGUAUCUUCUCAGACCAAGUCCGGACAGCCGUAUUGUCUUCCACUCUAUCAAGAAACCCAUUUCCCAUGAUAAACUUUCUAUAUGGCAACCGAAUAUGAACCAACGCCUUUAUAAUGAAAUGUCAUGCAAUUAUGAUGUCAUGCAAUCAAAACAAAAGAAACCCAAGUUAGUAUCACAUAUAAAAAUAUAAUCCAAACAAGAACACUUAUUUAGGAAUCUACUAGGGUUCAGUAUAGUUCUCCCUAGGGCAAGUUCCUAAAGCUCACUAUAUGAGGUUUAGUUUCUAGAGUAAGGGUACCCGAACCAACAGAUUCCUCGAUCCUCACCCAUUAUAGGCUCAUACAGAUCGAGUUCAGUUCAGGGGGACACAUUUCCCUAUGGCUGCACGGAGAUGAAAAUCUCACGAAGACAUAGGUACGAAUGUAUCCCGGAAGCAGUCCACUAUCCUGCACGGAGGUGAAAACCUCACGAAGGACUAGUUUCUCGCUCCCACUUAAGGGUAAAAUGCAAAAUGCAAAUGCAAAGUUGCCAAAGUUCCAUGAUAAAAUAUCAAUGAGUGCAAAGGGAAAAUUUUUAAAAACUUUUUGAUUUUCGACACAAAAACAAAUAUGAUCAGUUUAUGGCUCGACUCUCUAUGUCCCCAGCGGAGUCGCCAAGCUGUCGAAACCGUUUUUUGAAAACAAAAAUUUUAGUUGUCGACUUAAAAAAAACAAAAACUGGAGUCGCCACCGAUCCUUUAUUAAGGUGUGAUCGGCCCACCUUAAAAAUAAUUUUGGUCUGCGAAAUUCGAGAAAAUAGGCUCGGGAGUCAGUUACGCACGAGGAAGGAUUAGCACCCUCGUAACGCCCAAAAUUGGUACCAAAUUGAUUUUUUUUAAUGCCUUGGUGUCGAAAAUUUGAAAAGAUUUUAAAAGGAAACUUUUUAUUUCAUGAAUGGAUUAAAAUAAAAAGACAUUCGUAUUUCAAAGAAAUAAAACACCACACCCAGUGAGUUAGGGCACAAUGUUUUUAAAUCUUCAAAAUACCCGAAUAUUGCCUUUUGCUUUUGAAAAUUCUUAUUUCGAGAAGAAAAUGUCAUGACCAGUAAGUUAGGACCCAACAUUUCGAAUUCCCGAGAAUAAGUUUUUAUUUAAAAUUUGAAUUUAUUGCAAAACAAAUAUUUGGCUUUCUAAACUCAUCGAAAAAUAAUCGCGAUCCAAUAAGUUAGGACACGAUCUUUCACGAGAAUCAUGAAUACUAAAUAUUUUGGAAUUUAUAAAAUAAGAUGAUUUAAAUACUUUGAGAAAACAUAUAUUUUCUUUNNNNNNNNNNNNNNNNNNNNNNNNNNNNNNNNNNNNNNNNNNNNNNNNNNNNNNNNNNNNNNNNNNNNNNNNNNNNNNNNNNNNNNNNNNNNNNNNNNNNCACAAGUAAAUUUGAAAAUAUGUGCAUGCGUAUGUUUAACACACAUACACAAAUAUACAUAAAAAACAUGCAUAGCAUAACUUAUAAUAAUCUCCAAAAAUAUGUACGUAUAUUUCAUAAAACAUGCAUAUGUACAAAAAAAAUAGAAAAAAAAUGCAUAUGCCUUGUAAAAUAUGAGAGUACAUACAUAUAUAUAUAUAUAUAUACAUAUUUAUUUAUAAAAACUAUGUAAACAAAAUAUAUAUAAAAUAUGAGCGUAUAAGGACUAAAAUAUGUAUGUAAGCAUAUAUAUAUAUAUGAACGUAAAACUAUGAGAAUAAAAUAUAAAAACGUGUGGAUGUGUACAUGUUUAAAAAAAUGUAUAAACACAUAUAUAUAAAAUAUAAGGUAUAAAAAUAUAAAGGAUAAAAGAUAGAAUAAAGGAAAUAAAAUGUAUGUAAAACGUAUGCAUGCAUUUUAAAGCUUAAGGAUGUAUAUAUGCUAGAAAUGAAAACAUGAAAAGUGAAUAAUAAAAGUUAUACGUUUGUAAAAAACGAAAUAUAAAACAAUAUGUAUAUACACGUACAUGAAAAUCAUAAAUGGAAUUAGUGUAAUAAUAAUAGUAAUAAUAAACGUGUAACAGUAUAUUAAAAAAAGAAAAAAAACUAAAUAAAGUAAAGAAAAGACCAAAUUGAAUAAAAAAACCAAAAAAAUAGGGGCAAAUUCGAAAAUAAUAAAAAAGGGAUGAAUUCGAACACGCGAGCGGCAAUGGGGGACCAAAAGAGCAAUUUACCCAGGCCUCCAAAACGCUGCGCUGAAGGGGACUGAAUUGAAACGUGAAUUGAAUAUGCGGCCCAAUUUUAAAACAAAAAAAAAGAUUUAAUUGACAUGCGCUGCAAAAGGGAGGGGUCAAAUGCACAAAUAACCCAUAUGACGUUAGAACGCGCGGAUCCUCCCCUCCGGGUCGGGUCACCGCGCGAGUCACACUUGACCAAAACGACGCCGUUUUGAAUGUUGUUUAAAACAAAAAUUUUCCUUCCAAAAAAAUCCAUUUGAAAUCGAAUGGGAAAAAAAAAAAGAAACUCCGGCGCUCUGCUAGGGUUCAAUCCCUAGCGUCCUUGCGCCGCCACUCAAUCGGCCCUCUCACCAAACUCCGAUCACGACAGAGAUGGCGGUGGCACGGCGUUUUUAGGUAUGUUUUCCUCCCUUUUUGUUAUUUCAAAUGAAAUAAAAUGAAAAUAAAGAAAAAAAUGUAAAAACGAUAAACACUUUUAACAAUAAAAAAGAAAUCACCUUUAAAACAAAACAAGUUUUUUUCUGCUUUUAUUCCCGAUUCUCUCCGUCAAAAAUCCGUCCUUUUUACAGAUAAAAGUCGGCCUUUUAUAGCCUGAAAACCUAUUUGUUUUACACUAUAUUUUCGCUAAUGGACUCUCUGAAUCCGUGUUUGCAGGUGCGUGGAGAGUGGAGGCCGAAACGUGCGGAGGCUGCAGGAGGCUGUUGCGGCGCUGGGCAUGGGCUGCUGAGGCUUGCGGCGCUGAAGCAGAGAGGCUCUAGGGUUUCUGCUUUCAACGUUUUUGGUGUAUUGGGCUUGAACGGCCCAUUUUUGUUUUGUAAAUGGUCUGGGCCAAUUGGGCCUUAUUACACGUAUUAUAUAUAUAUAUAUAUAUAUAUAUAUUAUAAACCAAUGGCUAAAAAUUUUUCUAAUCCUUCUAGCUUUCUUUAUAUGAGAGUCGUUAAAUUUUAGUUUUGAUUCGUAUACUUUGCUCAAAUUUUAAAUUUAAUCUAUAUACUUUAAUUUUUCAUAAUUUAAUUUCUCAUCCUUUUUAAUAUCAUUAGUUAAUUUAAAUAUUUUAUUCCAAAAACUUGAAAUAUAAUAAUUUAAUUAAAAGAAUAAAUAAUCAACACGAAGCAUGGGUGAGAAUCAUAAAUCAUGCAUGACUUCUAUCAUUAAGUAUCCUUAGCAGUCUUUUUAAGCUGUUAUUAUUAUAUUAUUAUUUUAUUCGUGCAUUGAAAUUAAAUCAAAUCCGAAUAUAAUACGUAAUUUCUUUUUGACCGGUCCAAGAUUAAGUUUAAUAAAAUCUAUUUGCUGUAUAUUUAUUAUUAAGAAACAUUGGUCUUAGUACGUCUCCUUUAGAAUAUUUACACUUAAUUCGCAUUAAAUAUAAAAUAUGAUUAUAAUUAUUUAAAUUCUUUUGUUUGGAAAGGAUAAAAUAUGAAUAUUUACACUUGAAAAGUAUUUUGUUUAAUAGGUUGGUUUGUCUUAAUUUUGAAUAUGGAAAUUAAGUUAUCUUGGAAAAGGAAGUUACAUGAGAGAAAAACUUGUUAAUCCUUAGAAUUUUCAGCAUUUUUAUAGUAAUUUUGAAAUGGUUAAUAUUAUUGUUGAGUAUGACUUAUAGUUAAAUUUAAGAGAUAAUCUCUUAGUUAAACUCUGUUUAUUUGUUUCAGUUAAAUUUUGAUUAGUCUAGAUUAUUUUAUUAUUAUUUGACCUACGAAUUUAGCCUAUAAAUAGGAUCUUUUACAACAUUAUAAAAAACACCCAUUAAAAUAUUAGAACUCAUAACACUUUUGGAGAAUUUUGUAUUUACAUUUUGAGGGUUCUUUUUUUUAGGUUUCGGGGUUUAGUUUUUAUCUUCAUCUUUUGUAAUUUUUAUUUUUUUGUCAUUAUAGUAAAAUUAUCUUUAUCCGUGGUUUUUUAUCCUCUUUGGAGGGGUUUUUUUCACGUUAAAUUUGUGUGUUCAAUUUCUCAAUUGCUUCCGCUAUUUUUUACUUGUUUGUUGCUUAAUCGGAUCAAUUCCCAACAAUCAUCAUAUAAUAUUUUUUAUAUGUUGCUAGUGAAUUGAGGACAUAUUUCUAAAAUUUAAAUGAAUUUUUUCUUUUGUAUUCUUUAUAUUCAUUUUACGGUAAUGCAUCACAUAUAAAUCCAUUUUAAAUUGAAAUCCAUGUUUUAUCAUUUACAUUAUCUUAUAUUAUUUUGAGCUAAUUCAAUCAAUUGUCUCUAAAUUAUUGUCAAUAUUUUUAAGGUAUAAUGUCAAAUUGUUUACAUCUUUUUUCAGUUUGGUUCUUAUUCUUUUUUGAGUUAUAAAUUUGGCCCUCAAUUUUUUUUAAAAAAUUGUCAAAUCACUUUUUAAUGAAAAUAUUCAUUAAAACCUUAUUUUUUAACGAUGUUGGUAUGUCAACCCGUGUGGUAAUCCACGUGUACUUCAUGCUAACAUGACACUUUAUCUUAUAUAUCACACCAAGAAAUAAUUUAAAUUAUAAAAAAUUCCAAAAAAAAACGAGAGCAUGAAGUACAUGUGGAUUGCUAUGCGAGCUGUCAUGUCUAAAAACCUAAUGUUUAGCUAAUAUUUCCGUUAAAAAAAUAACAAUUUAAUUUUUUUUGAAAGGUUGAUGGUCAAAUAUGAUUUUUUUUUAAAGGUCGUGAGCCAAAUUGAUAAAAAAAAAUGUAAACAUUAAGGGAUAAAUUUGACAUUAUGCCAAUUCUUAAUUAGUUUUAAACUUCAAAAUAUGUUAUUGACAUGGUAUCAAAUAGGUUUUCCAUUAGCAUAGUAGUUAAUUUAAGUGUUAAAUGUCAAUUAGGAUAUAAUGUGGAGCCUACUUAAAACAUGAAUUAAAUUGUAAAUUUGAGUAUUGUCACUUCCCAAAAAUAAGGCUAGAAGAAAUAGGGAUAAAAUUUAGAUUUUAUUUUUUUAAGCAUAGGGUAAAAGAAUUUAGAAUGCCUUAAAAAUUAUUUUUGAUAAGAAAUUAACAAGAAUUAGUCUACUAGUUCAUUGGUAAGGCCUUAGCUUUCUCUUGGGUCUCAAGUUUGAAAUCUCUUGUUCACCUUUCAAGCAAAAUAUUUUAUUUUCUUAUUUUUACCCCAUAAAAGUGCCGAAUUUUCAAACUAGCCCAAACCAAAAAUUGUUAUUUUCUAAUUUAGUCCUUAAUUUAAAAUAGUCUUGCUUCUCCAUGGAAUCCUAAAACCUAUUUCAAUUAGGGAAAAAGAGUUUUAUAAUUAGGAAAUCUUUUCAAAACUCUAGAAAUUUUAUCUAGUGAAUUUUUCAAGGAAAACUCUCAAGUUCUUCAUUUUCUCCAUCAUUACCAAACCAAUUUUCAAGCAAAGAAAUCCAAGGUUUCCAAAAUCGUCCCUCUCCUCCCAAGUAGACCAUCAUUCUCCUCAUCCAAAUUAAGGUUUUUGUGUCUUCGAAUCAGGUGUGGGAUCUAAACAUAAAUCAUUAUAUAUGAUUAACUGUAGUGUUAGGAAGUAAUAAGACUGCUAUGCAACCCCUCAUGUUAUGCGAACCCCCUUGCAUGUGCGAGCCCUGUGUGUGAUCCCCGUGUGCAAAACCCCCUAUGUGUGAGCUUGUGAGCGAACCUCUAUACGCGAACCCCUAUAGAUGAACUAUAGCUUGUAUAUACAUAUGCAAACCCUCAUGAUUUUUAGUAUAGGAUUUAAGUUGCAAACCCUAUAUAUAUUACGCGAGGCAUAUAUAUCAUGCGCACCCUAAACAUACUUUGCGAGCUUUAUAUAACAUGCAAACCCUAGGUAAUAUGUGAAUCGAGUAUAUCAUGCAAACCCUAGGUCCUAUACGAGCUAUAUAUAUCAUGUGAACCAAAGCUUGCAUAUCAUGAAAAUCCUAGGUACUAUGCGAACCCCCUGUGUUACAAACCCCCUGUAUGUCCGAACUCUGUUAGGCGAACUGAAGCAUAUGUGCGAACCCUACAUGUACGAACCCCUAGGUGCAAACCCUACAUGCGCUAACCCAUAUGUGCAAUCCUAUAUGUGCGAACCCUGUAUGUGCAAACCCUGCUUAUGUAUGUGUUAGCCGAACUAAGAAUGUUAAUAUGCAUGAAGAUAUUGUAUAUGUGAAAUUGUUUUAGAUCGCUUAAAUUAAUUGUAUAUGUGAAAUUGAUGGGAAUGGAUGAAUGAUCACAUGCCAUUAAAUGAUAGUAUGAAAUAUCAAAUGAAGCAUUGAAAGAUGAUAAAUAGCAUAAUAUGCUAAUUGUAUGUGCAUAAUUACAUGAAUUUAGGUAAGAAGGUCGAAGGAGUUCCAUAGGAGAUAGUGGCAAUUCAAGUCCACACCAAAAGUCAGUAUUGCACAGAGUAGGUGGCUAUGUCAUCAAAACUGGAUAAAUCAGGAUGAUAGUUUAAAAAGCCAUAAAAAAUCGGGUAACUGAGAUGGUAAGUUAUUGUUGUAAAAGUCAUCGUCACAUAUGACAAGUGAACGACCAUCGUCAUCGGAAAUCAAAUCCGAGAUGGUUAGUUUUUUUUAUGUGUUUUGGUGUGUCGAGCGAUGCUUGAUGGCGAUUAAGAUGGACAGGUUGGAAAUUAAAUUUAUAAUUGCAUUUGCAUCAUGAAUAAACUAUAUAUGCAUUGAAUCACUACAUGUUCCUUACAUCAGCUUAACUUGUAUUAUGCUUGAUUUGUUAUUAUGCUAUAAAUUAAAUUCUAUAUUAUUUGAAUGAUUAUAUAUAACGGUUUAAAAAUUAGACUCACACUGAGCUAUCAUAAGCUCACCCCCCAUUUCUUUACCUCUUAGGUAAUGCAGGAAACUAGGUCUCGGAAUGGCAUAAGAAGAACCUCGAAUUAGCAACUUGUUUUGGUUUUAUUUAAAAGUUUCAUUAAAAGUUUUCCUUAAUAAUUUAUUUUUGGGUUUGUAAUUAUUAAGUAUUUUCUCGUUUUUAUAUCAUAGGUUUGGGAUUUGUUUAGCUUAUUUAUUUUAAGCAUGUCAUUUGAUUAUUACUCUAAUAUUUGCAUGCUAUUCAGUAUAGGAAACUAUUAUUCUAAAUGUUUUCUGCUGCUUUACAAAAUACUUAAAGUUUUGAUAGGUCUUUUCUUAAAAACUUAAAAGUCGUUUUCUUAAAACUUCAUAUCAAUUAUACUGUAGAUGAACUAAUAAGUCAAAUUGGUUUAAUGAAUGAAUGUUUUUCUAAAAACAAAAGAGUAUUUCCAUACAAAUCAAACGCAUCUAAAAAGAACGGUUUUACAGGAUCACUUCGGUGAUCGAAUGUAAUGCCUUUGACUUAGCCGAAACUCCUAGGCCAGGUCGAGGAUGUUACAUAUAUAUAUAACUACGACAUGAAAAACCUGGAUUUGACGUAUUAAAAACUAGUAUCAAUUAAAUUUUAUCUAUGCAAUAGAUAUAUAUGUUUUUUAUAAUUUGAUCUACGAAUUUUAAAUAUAUUUCAUCUCAAAUUUGAGUUGGCAUUUAAUGCCUAAACUAAUUGUUGAAUUAAUAAAAGGACUUAAUUGAUAUGAUAUGAUAAUUUGAGAACUAAAUUAAAACAUUUUAAAAAUUAAAGAUGAAUUUAAAAUCCCAUAAUUUGAGAACAUUGCGUCUAAUGUGUUUAUGGUGAAUUGUAAACAAAUCCUUGGUCAAACCUGACAUGCUCUAUAAAAAUCCAUGAAAAAUCAGUUGUAAAAAGGUAGAAAAGAAAGGCAAAUACUUUCAGAUGCUUAACCGACUUCAUUCAAUUUUUAUUUUCAUAUAAAAAAUACUUAAUAUAUUUAAUAUAUAUUUGAUGGUUGAAUUUUUUACAUAAAAUAAAUUAAAUUUAUAUAAAAUUUGUUAUGCAUAAUUUAAAGGAAUAAACCAUAAAACAUAAUGGUUUUAUCGUUAAAAUAUUAAUUAUAUAAAUAAUUAUAAAAGUGUAUAAAAUUACUUUAAUUUUUAUUAAUUUUUAAUUUCUUCGUUAUUAUUUUUAUUAAUUUUUUUUAAAAAAAUUAUAAAAUAUUUGAUGUUUAGAAUUUUAAGAAUGAUACAUAUAAACAAUUUCUUUUCUUAGUUUUUAAAUUCAUCCAUUUAAAAACAAUUCUGAUAUCCUAAAGAGAGUGGGUCAAAUAAGUAACAAAUUUAUUUAUUUUAAAAUGCUAACAAGUAAACAAAUACAUUUGAUCACUAAGGAUUAAAAGAAACAUGACAAACAUUUUUUAAAGUAAAAUUUUAAAACUUUAUAUCAAAAUAAGUCAGUAUUUUGAAUACUAUAGAGUCGUAUUGUUCUUUCUUUCCAAUCAUAUUUCCUAGGAAAUUAAUAUAAGAUUACUGGUCAAAAGUUUUGUGAAGAGUAUGUCAAAAGCAGAGAAAAGAAUAAAUAUCAUUCAUGCCCUCAAACAUUUUGAUCGAACUGCAAAAGUUUAAAGUAAAUAGAGGAUAUUUAAACCUUUUUUACAGACAUCAACUUUGAAUCAAAAGAAUCAAACAAAAGACAAAUCAACAUUUCUUUUAAUCUAUUUGUAUUUCUCAUGCACUUUGUUUUCUUGAAUUUAAGUUCUCCUUUUUUGACUUCAAAUAUCACCACUAUUUUUCUUACCUAUAAAUACAUGCAACAAUUGCACUCUUAUCCUCACACAAAUUCUGUGCCAAAUUUCAAGAGCAAACCAAGAAAAGGCUGCAAAUUCAGCUUUUCAAUAUCUGCUUUUGAUCAAUCGAAAUGGCUUCACAAGUUUCUCAAAUGCCUUCUUCAUCACCCCUUUCUUCCAAUAAGGAUGAAAUCCGUCCCAAAGCCGAUUUUCAGCCUAGCAUUUGGGGAGAUUUCUUCCUCAAUUGUCCCGACAAGGUAUACAUACAUAUCACCAUAUUGAUAUAAUCUUAACAUAUUAUUUGUUCAAUUAUUUAGUGAUUCAAUAUGAAGAAAAUUUUCAUUGUUUUGAGCAGAAUAUUGAUGCUGGAACUGAAAAACGCCACCAACAAUUGAAAGAAGAAGUGAGGAAGAUGAUUGUGGCACCAAUGGCUAAUUCGACCCAAAAGUUAGCCUUCAUUGAUUCAGUCCAAAGACUGGGUGUGAGUUACCAUUUCACCAAGGAGAUCGAAGAUGAACUAGAGAAUAUCUACCAUAACAACAAUGAUGCCGAGAACGACCUCUACACUACAUCUCUUCGAUUCCGACUACUCCGAGAGCAUGGAUACAAUGUUUCAUGCGGUAAUUAUUGGAACAGAAACAUAGUGUUUUUAAGUUUCUUGAGAAUAUAAUAGCAUGGAAUGUUUGAUAACGAUAUUUCAUUUUGGGUAAUUUCAUGUCAGACGUAUUCAACAAGUUUAAAGACGAGCAAGGGAAUUUCAAGUCAUCCGUGACAAGCGAUGUUCGAGGAUUGUUGGAACUUUACCAAGCUUCCUAUUUGAGGGUUCAUGGGGAAGAUAUAUUGGAUGAAGCAAUUUCUUUCACCACCAACCAUUUAAGCCUUGCAGUAGCAUCUUUGGACCAUCCUUUGUCCGAAGAGGUUUCUCAUGCUUUGAAACAAUCAAUUCGAAGAGGCUUGCCAAGGGUUGAGGCAAGGCACUAUCUUUCAGUAUACCAAGAUAUUGAGUCCCAUAAUAAGGCUUUGUUGGAGUUUGCUAAGAUCGACUUCAACAUCUUACAAUUUUUGCAUAGGAAAGAGCUAAGCGAGAUUUGCAGGUAUGUUUUUUAAUCUCUUUCACCCAUUUUUUCUUUUUCAUCUUAUUUAUUUAUUUAUUUAUUAGUGGAAGGAGGGUUGAAUUUAUUGGAGACAUCAUUCUCAGUAUAGGAGACAAGUUGCAAAUGCUAAUAUUUGAAUCUUAUUAAAUAGUACAAGUUAAAAGUGAUGGCAUGAACCUUGGAUUCAUCUUUUUCACCUAUAUCAUUUUACUUAUAAAUAUUUUAAUAUUUGAGGUUGCCAAUUGACUUAAAUCUAACAACAUGAAUGUGAAACUAAUUGAAACAUUGAAUAUUAAUUGUGCUAAUGGGGUUUUUUAUGAUAUCAUUUUUUAGGUGGUGGAAAGAUUUAGACUUUCAAAGAAAGUUGCCAUAUGCAAGAGAUAGAGUGGUUGAAGGCUAUUUUUGGAUCUCAGGAGUGUACUUUGAGCCCCAAUAUUCACUUGGUAGAAAGAUGUUGACAAAAGUGAUAGCAAUGGCAUCUAUUGUAGAUGAUACAUAUGACUCAUAUGCAACAUAUGAAGAGCUCAUUCCAUAUACAAAUGCAAUUGAGAGGUUAGAUUUCUUUAAUUUUGUUGGUAAUAGGUUAGGUUUCUUUAGUUGAAGUUAACAUUCAAUAAUAUAUUACGAGGAAUGAUUAAAUAUAACGUUGAAGUUGGAUUCAGGUGGGAUAUCAAAUGCAUAGAUGAACUUCCUGAAUACAUGAAGCCGAGCUACAAGGCACUAUUAGAUGUUUAUGAAGAAAUGGAACAACUGGUGGCUGAGCAUGGGAGACAAUAUCGUGUUGAAUAUGCGAAAAAUGCGGUAUGUACAUCAACAAACAUUUAUUUUGUACAAAAGAGAUAAGAUCUUAGCUAAAUUCUAGAUUUGAAUAAACAACUAACUCGAAUAACAAUAUAUAAUCAUUUAAAUAUUAUUAUCGAAUUUGAAUUGAUAUUAGUGAUAAUUGUUGGGAUUUUUUCGCUUCAGAUGAUACGACUUGCUCAAUCUUAUCUUGUGGAGGCCAGAUGGACUCUUCAAAACUACAAACCAUCAUUCGAGGAGUUUAAGGCUAAUGCAUUGCCAACUUGUGGUUAUGCCAUGCUUGCUAUUACAUCUUUCGUCGGCAUGGGAGAUAUCGUAACACCAGAGACCUUUAAAUGGGCAGCCAAUGACCCUAAGAUAAUUCAAGCUUCCACAAUUAUUUGUAGGUUUAUGGAUGAUGUUGCGGAACACAAGGUAUAAUAAUAUAUUUAGAUAACCACAGGAAACCGAACUCUUAACUAAAUAAUUCAAUGUCUUUGUAACAAAAUCAAACGAUGGUUUUUAUCAUGAUCUAAAAAAAAAUAAAGUUUAAUGUUUAUAUAUAAAAUGUUUAGUCUCAAAUUGAAGAAUAAGAAAAGAAAUCUAGUUUCAUUUUAGGGCUUUUAGUGAGGAAGUAUUGUCAAUAAAUGUAUUUUAUCGUCACAAACAAAGGUAGUUUAAUAAACUGAUAGAUUUUAGGGUAUAUAGUGAUAGAAUAAUUUUGAUUUUAUUAUGGCUGCAGUUUAAGCAUAGGAGAGAAGACGAUUGCUCAGCAAUAGAGUGUUACAUGGAAGAAUAUGGCGUAUCAGCACAAGAGGCAUAUGAUGUAUUCAACAAGCAUGUUGAGAGUGCCUGGAAGGAUGUGAAUCAAGAGUUUCUGAAACCAACAGAAAUGCCAACAGAAGUUUUAAAUCGUAGCCUAAACCUUGCAAGGGUGAUGGAUGUACUUUACAGGGAAGGAGAUGGAUAUACAUAUGUUGGAAAAGCGGCUAAGGGUGGAAUCACUUCAUUGCUUAUUGAACCAAUUGCACUUUGAAAUUUAUAUUAAAUUUUCCUCUUCAAGCAUCUUCCUUAAGAAAUAGUUAUUAAGUUCUAAUUAAUAAUGUUGUAUAAUAUUCAUAUAUAUUAUCAAAGAAAGUCCGAAUCGAUUGUCUUUGUACUCAUUACCUUCUAUUAAUUCAAUAAAGUUCUUUUCAAGCUUUCCAUUAUGAAAAAUAUUCUUUUUUAUAUUUUAUAUUUACUUAUUUUUAUAUACUUUUUUAUAUAAAAGAAUAUGUGAUGUAAAAGUAGGACGAAUUAUAAAUAUUGGAAUUAAGAUAAUAAUAAAAAUCCACUAUCCCUUACCACUUUAAGUUUAUUGACAUAAACUUUGAACUCGUUAUUUAUUUAAUUUUGAUGAAGUUUGACAUAUAAAAUACAUUGAUUAAGUUUGACAUAUAAAAUACUCACUAUUAAUUGCGGCUUAAAAAUCAUCAAAUUUGUAGCCAAUCUUAAAGGAUUAGUAGUCAAUUUCAAAAUAAUUAUUUCUUAAAUGGAAUGAUCGGAAUGGAUUAAAUUGGUUGAUUGAUUAAUUUUUUUAUCAAGUUUAAUUAGGGAAAUAUUUUGUUUCAGAUAUUGGAGUGGAUGAUUUCCAUAAAAUAGAGACAUAGAUGUGAUUGAUCAGACUGACAGUACAUCGGACAAGAACCAAGUAGAAUAAAUUCUAGAUCCAUUUAUGGAUUUAUUCACUUAUGACAUUCAUAGUGUGAUAUACUUUAAUAUUGAAUGGAUAAUUGAAUGGAUAAGGGAGUAUGUAUAUGUGACUCGGAUGCUUUGAUGUAAAUGAAAACAGGUGUUCAAAUAGAUAAAUAAUCCAAAGUUGGUACAUUGGGUAUAUGACUUCUGCAUGAUGUAGGAUCAUUCCACAAUAGUGAAAUUCAUAGCCCAAUUAAGGGGAAAUGAUGAUAGAUGGAAAGUAAUGUGACCAUAGGUCAUUUGUCUUAGAGAUAAAUUAUUUAAUUAGUAAUUGACUUUUCAUGAAUGAAGAUGUUAUGGUUACCAUGACAUAAAACAGUAUCAUAAUGGGAGCACGGGUUUAUCUCAAAGAGAUUAAGGAUAUCCUAUGAGAGUAACAUACUUAUGACAAGGUAUUUGAAUGAACACUUAAUUAGUAGAUUUUAUAAUAGUAUAUAAUAAAGAAGUGUUCAAUCAUGGUACUUUAGUGGAAUGACUCUAUAAUUAAAUAAUAUUGUAAUUAAUAGAUGAAGAGUCGAAACUUAAUUACAAAUUAUUUGAGCCAUAAUUUUAUAUGUUCAAUUGGUCUCUCUGUUAGCUCAAGAUAAGUCAAAACAAAUUGCAUGCAAAACCAAUCAUAUGAAAUGAAUGAAAACAAUGAAAUAAGAUAAAUAGAUUGCAUGUAUACUAUCUGUAAUGAAUGCAUUUUCUCGCUAAUUACAAAAGAUGACUUAUAAAUUAAUUUAACUUCUUUAUAUUAUUAUUUAAUUAAUUGUAAUUAUUUAGAAUUAAUUUAAUUUGUCAACAUGGAUUUAUUGAAAGGGAUAAUUAAAUAUUUUUCCUCCUAGAUUCUAAUACGGUAAAGUUGUGUGACUUCAACAAAAUUAGAAUUGGGUUGAGAAAAGAAUUUAAUUGUGAAAUUAAUUUAACUAAUUAGUUAAUUAAAUUAAGUUAUUAAUUAAUAUUUUAAGAAAUAGAAAAUAAUUAUUGGGUUAGAUAAAUUAUAAAUAUUAGAUAAAAAUCUAGAUAACACAUAUAAUAGUACCUAAUACAUGAAAGACUCAAAUUAAGCCCGGUUUAAUAUAAGGAGUAACAAACCCUAAUACCCUAGGGGUGCCACUACCCACUCCUUAUUCUACUUCCAAGUAGAAUUUAUAUUUUUAUUAAAAUAUAUAUAAUUAAUUACACUUAAUUCGAACAAAACUCUUAUACCAUAUCUCUAUAAAUAACACAAUUUUGAGAGCACCAUUAUUUUGUCGAAAAAUAGUGACAAUUUUAUUUUAUAAUAAAUUUUAUUUUUUGAGAAAAAUUUAAUUUUUGGUUAUAGAGAGAAUUAAUUUUCCCUUUUGAAAGUUAAAAAAAGUUGUAACACCCCAAGAUUUGGGAAUUCCUAAAUUUGGACGCAUAGUUCAAAAGUAAUUUGUUCGUUCAAAAGUCCUAAGUUGUAACACAUGCAGAAUAAAUUAUUAUGAAGAAAGAAAGAUAUUAAUUUCAUUGAAAACUUUGAAUUAUAAAUAGACGCCUUUGGUGAAAUUUACUUAAUUCCCUUUCAAUAUUUCAUUUCAAUUCUAAUGUAUUAGAUUUUCUUUUAAGGCAUCUAUUGGAGCGAGCGUAGUAACUAAUUUUUCGUAUUCUGUAGGUUCAUUAAAGGAUAGAUGUUGACUCUAAAUUUUAAAGCCGCUUCAUAUUUAGGACCCAUAAAAAAAACAUUAUCAUCUCACUUAACUCUCGUAGUUAAUGUAUUAGAAUAUUUUAAAUGAUGAAUUUAAAUAUAAAUUUUUAGUAUCGACUAAAUCAUACAGCUACGGAGAUUACAAUUCAAAUUAAAAAAUAUGUUAAAUUAAAUAGUGAAAAAUACGUUAUUCAAAGAGUGAAGCUGUCUUGUUUGUAUGGUUAGAUUUUAUUAGAAUUUUUUUUAUAUAUUUCAUGCUUAUUUUAUGGUUUACGUUUAUCAGUUUUCGUUGUUUUUUUCAAUGAAUUUCGUAACUAUACAGUGAGAAUCCGUCACUAAAGUUGACUAAUUUGUCAUUUCCGAUGAUUCAAAUGACUUUUCAACACUCUAAGUCUAGAGUCAAUAUUUUAUUGCUUUUUUUUAGAUGGCUGAAAAUAUGAUUAAUGUGCCUUUCUUUUCUUCCUUAAAUUAUGUCAUUAUGUUAAUUAACUUCUUUUUUUCAUAUUAUUUCAAUAUAAUAUAUAUUAGAAUAAAUUUAAAAAAUCAAAAAUCAGUUUUGAGUAAUUAUUAUUAUUUGAAUAAUCUCAUUAUAGGUUCUGGUCAUAUUAUUUUUAACACAAUGGUUAAAACUAUCCAUAACCCCUCUCCAACGAUAAAUAAGACUCAAACGCACAUACUCCUGUAUUGACAACAAUAUCCAUGUUAAUCGAACUAAAAUUUAAUCGACAUAGCUAAUUUUUUUUUAAUAUACGAUAAAAGAUAAACCAAACUUUGAUCUUAUUAAUCCAAACUCAAACAUGAUUAUCUUGAUUUGAUAAUAGGAAAAAAUUUAAAUUAACCCAAAAUAACUUAAAUGGAAAACACCCAAACUUUAAAACUCUUGCAAGUAUUUGAUUGAAGAUUGUUAAUUAACAUUUAAAAAAAUUGUUUUACGUUCAUUACAUUAUUUUUAUUAAGCUAAAAAGUAAUUAAUGGUGUAUAUUUUAAUGUGAUCCAACACCAUAUGUUAAAAUUUAUUAGUAUUCAUUUUCAAGAUUUGGUUAUGAUAUUUAAUUUCGUUUAUCUUAUACUCUUGUUUUCUUUUCCCAAGGAAUAUUCAAUAAAUGUUGCCAAUGUAUAUCUCAAAAUAAUGACUAUGAUUUGAAAUAAAAUAAUGUUAGAUGCAUGUACCUUUCUCUUUGUUUCUCUAUUCGAUUUUUCUUAAUGAUAAUUAUAUCUACCAUUUGAGUAUUUAAUCAUUACUAGGGGACUGAAGGUAGAAAAAAUAUUUUCAUUAACGUUUAUGUAAGAAUUAAAUAAAAAAAUUUGAUUAAAAUUGUAAAGUGAAAUAUUUAAAAAUUAUAAUAUAAAUUUAUCGAUUCUAUAUAAAAAUAUGUGAAAAAGAUAAAAUCACCCUCUGACGAAUUUUUAAAACCAUACGAAGCCGCCACCAAUUUCUUUUAAAGAGUGGUUGACUGCAUAGAAAGUUUAAAAUCAUUAAAACAAAUUUUGAUGGGCGAAACUAAAUCUGAGUUUAAGAGCACGAUUAUGCGUCAGAAAGAAAGAUGUUAGCAUCCUCAUGACACCCAUUAUUAAAGGGAUACCAAAAUAAUCAUGAGUAUUUGUAGAUUGGAUUAAAAUAACUUUAAUUCUAAUAUUUAAAAACCAUUGCUCAUAAUAAAAAAUAAUUUUUAUUUAUAUAAAAUGAAUUUUUACUAGAUCCAAAAUGGUUGGUAUCCUUUGAGAUAAAUAGUAAGAAUACAAUAAUAAAUUAAGCUCUCAACGUUUAUAUUUUUGUCAAUUUGGCCUUUUUUUUUUCAAUUAAAUUUUGUCAUUAAACUUUUAAAAAGAGUUGAAUCGCUUUUCUUUACUAGAAAUGUUGAUUAAAACAUUAAGUUUUUAACAACGUUGGCAUGGCAAUCUAUGUGUACUUCACACAACAAUUAAUUUAAAAAUAUUCAAAAUUUAAAAUUUAAAAAAAGUUAAUAAAAACUCAAAAGAAAUUUGCAUGAAAUAUAUGUAAAUUGUCAUGUGAGGUAUCAUGUUUAAAACAUUUAAUGGUUAAAUUCAAUUGUUAUUGAAAGAUUAAUGGUUAAAUUUAACUUUUUUUUAUAAGAUUGAUGACAAAAAAAUAAAGGUUAAAUUGAUAAAAAAAAAAGAUAAACAUUAAAAACUAAAUUUACGAGUAUGCCUUUAGUCACAUUUGUGGGUGGUACAUAUACCCAAAACACUUUGUUGGGUACUUUACUAUUGAGGUUGUCCACGAUAACAUAUAACCCACAUGUGGUGUUUCCACUUUUGAAACCCAAAAGAUAUAUCCCAAGUGCAUGUUGCAUAGAAGACUCAAACACGCACACAUCCUAAUAACACAAACAAAUUUUGCAAUCUCUCACAUGAAAUAAACAAAAUUUGCAAUCUCACACUCUGAAGGACUCAAGAAUAGUGAGAUUCCAAGAGCAUGCAACCAUACACCUAAAACCAUGAAAUUAUUUACCUUCAAUUCGUGUUUAUUCGAAGUAAGAUUUCAUCGUAUGCAAACGAGAGAGGGUUACAAUACAAAGUAGAUCCUCUCUAUAUAUAUGCUCCCUUCUUGGUUCUUCUUCUACCUCACUUGUAAGCUUCCUGUCUUUCUCCUUUGAAUGCUUCACUGUUCUCUUCACCUCUCUCUUUUUUCUUAUUACCUUUUUCUUUCUCUUCCCUUGCAAAAUGAGGGAGGAGGUCAUGCCACCCUUAAAUGUUAAUAACAUUGACAAAUACCAUAAAAACCAAAAAAUAAAAAUAAAAAAGAAUCAAAAUUUAUAGUCAAAAUCAAAGUUAAGGUCAAAAAUUAAAAUCAACCGCCGAAACUUAGAGCAAUAUUAAACUUGGAUUUUUCAAAAUUAAACUUGAAAUAUGGUUACCUGCGGUAGUGACUUUAAAAUCGAGUUUUUCCCGAAUAAGAAUGAGUUACAAUACAUAUAAAUAAUAAUUUCUUAACUAUUUUUCUUUAAAUUUUAAAUUAAAUUAAUAUUUAAUUGAUUCGUGAUACCUAUUUAAAAUUUUAAUCUAAAGUAAAUAUAUCCAUCAAUAAAUGUCUUAAUAAUACUAUCACUAUCUAUAUUUUUAGUAAUUAAAAUUAAAUUUUCGAUAAUGAUCCAUUUAUAUACGUAUAAAUUUAAAGUAAUUUUACAGUUUUUUAUAUCUCUUAAUAUGAUUAAUAUUCUAAGUAUUUAAUCGUUAAAAUUAUUAUUUUAUUUAUAUAUUCUAACUAUUUGUUUUAGGUAAAAAAAAUUAACCAUUCAAUAAAUAUUAAUAUAUAUCUAUAGUAUUUUAGAUUGAUGUGAUGAAGAUAUAUAUUAGAUUAAUUCAAAAAUAUACAUGCAUGACAAGUAUAAUUAUAUCAAUAAAUCCGACGGUUAAAUUGUUACAAUAUUAAUCUUAAAAAGAGAUAUGAAAGAGUAAAUCACUGUAAAUAGAUCUCCCAAAAUAAUUUGUAGUUAAUGUCCCAAAUUUCCAUAUAUAUAUAUAUAUAUAUAUAUAUAUAUAUAUAUAUACACGAUAAUGUGACCACUAGAUAGACUAUUUUGGACAUUAAAUGACGUACCAAAAAAGGAAAGAAAAAAAUAAUUCAAAAACGACACACUCUCCAUUGAUAUUUUCAUUUUAAGGUUGUAUUCUUUUGACUUAAAAAGAUAAUUAAAAUUAAAAAAAAAAUACAAUAAUUUUAUCGUGUUAUUGAUAAAUAUAAUAUUUUAGGAAAAUAUGGAAUAUUUUACUUUUGAAUUUCAUAUGGAUAAUAAAUGUGUAUAUAUAUGAACUCUUCAAGGAUAAUUUAAUUAUUAUUUAAUAAGAAGAUUUGGUAACUAACGUAUUGUUUUGACUAAAAGGACGUUUAGUAUGAUGGAAAGUUAUCAUUUUUUAUGACAUAUAAUUGGUUAAAAUGUGAUUCAAAUUUAAUUUCCUUGGAAUGUAACAUUCUCUUUGGAGAUACUUUCCUUAGGUAAUGGAAAGUGAUUCCCUUGAUAAUUGGUAAGAAAGUUACUUUCUCAUAUAGAUCGAAAGUAAAAAGAAUUUAUUAAGACAAAAUUAUAAUUUUUUUUUCUAUUUGUGUUUACGAUUAAAAUUUAAAUUGAAUGUAUUUUUUAAUAUAAAAUUUUUAAAUUAUAGUUUUUCGAUGAUAUGAAAUUUUAGUAUCAAGAAAAGUGCUCAAACGAAAUUUAUUUUCGAGUUUAAAAGAAAUAUUUCAUUUCUUAAUGCACAAAUACUUGCUAGCUUUUUUAUACAACAAUAUUGAUCCAUAUCUUCUACAUCUUUGGAGAAAAAAGGGAGGUGCAAGAAGGAGAAAAUAAGGCGGCGAGCAUAAUGGUAAAACCAGGGAAGAAAAGAGGAUAAUGUCAUGUGCUUACUGUCUCUAGUGCUUGAAACCAUUUUGAGCUAUUUUUUUCUUUGAAUCCAAACCUUCCUAAGCCUUAGAAUGUUACAAGCCGAGAAGACCUAUGUGACCUAAGCAUUUCCUUUACAUGAUCUUCUUGACUUGUUUAUAGUUAGCUUAUUGAAAGCUUUGGAUUUGCAUGUUGUGUCUACUAUAUAUCUAUAUAAGUUAUAUUGAUGGAUAACAUAAUUGAGUAUUUACUCAUUUGAAUCGCCAAGGUUUAUUAGUUUUUUAACUUAGUUAACUAGGUAGAUUUGCUUUAGGAGUACUUAAGUUAGCUAAAAAUCAAUCUUAAAUUGCAUGUGAAAUACGUCUUGUAUAAAUUCAAUAUUCGAUUGUCAUGCUUCUUAUUGUUCACCAUAUUCCAAGGGUCAUCUUAUGCAUGUUUUGUGUGUUUGCUUGUGGACAAACAACAACUUAAGUAUGGAGGAGUUUGAUCUAUCGUAUUUAUGUGUUAAAUUAAGCUAUUUAUUCUUGAGUAUUUUAUAUCGUCUGUUAUUACUUUCCCACAAUUAUUAGAUUUAAUACUUAACAUUAGUUUUUAUUUCGUUUUUAUGUUUUCGGAAUAAAAUGACAAGUUUAUGACAUUAGUAACUUAAUCUUUGAGUUAAGCUUGGUACAGUUACUUGGUUGAUGUGAAAAUGAGAAGAGGAGCCUAAACUAGAGCAAAGGUUGCGACACCAAUGCUUCCAACAUCAUCCGAGGAGUGAGACUUCAAUAAAUUGCACAUUUGUGGAGAUUACUUCCAUUGUUGCGACACCAAGGAGUUGAUGUCGCAACACCAACCUUGGUGGUUUUAACACUGGGCUAGCAAUGUCGCAACAUCGAUCAUAGCCUCUAAAGUUGAAGAACUCAAGUUGCCUGAAGACAAUGUCAUGACACCAAAGGCCAUUGUUGCAACACUAAAAUACCCAAUAACCCAAAUGUGUAGACUAUCAUAGGUGUCGUGACAUCGACCCUUGACGAGGCAAAAUAGUUGAGGGUAUUUUAUUGUCCAACAACCUUCAAAUUAGAUUUUUAAGGGGGGCAUAAUUAUCAUUUUUAGGUUAAGUUAGAAAAGACUAUAAAAACUACUUUAUAAGUCUUUUUGUAGUAGAGUUGUAGGGUAGAACAUAUUUCUACUUUUCAUCUUUUUAGAUUAUAUUUAUUUUUCUUUUCUUUUCUUUCAUUUUCUUUAGAAUAAUUUUAGCUAUAGAUUUUCUUCUCUUUUAUCGAGAACUCUGUAAAUGGAGAUGAUCAAGCUUGUGGGCUUCAUCGUAUUUUAAUCUAUUAAUGAGCAUUUUCUCAUAUCCUUAUCUUUUAUAUUUUAUUUCUACCAUGUGUUUAAUAAAAUGCUUGUGUAGGAUUUAAGUUUUAUUAUAUGCUAAAUUGGUUGAUGGUUAGUUGAUGAAAGUGGUCCUUUCUUGGUCUUCCUAAGCCAUCAAGAUGUGAUUAUGCCCAGAAAAAGGUGUCAACCAUUUUUUCUUUGACGAGGAGAGGGAAGCUAUCUUUUGGGCAAGCUUUAUUGAGGUUGGUGAAAUCCAUACACAUCCUUCACUUGCCAUUAGACUUCAACACCAUGACUAUAACACCUCACACCCGACUCGAUUGUUGGAUCCAAAUGCGUGAUGUCACAUUACGUUACCGAAACAACUCAAACUAUCUCAUUUUAUAAUAAUAAAAUUUAAAUCAUAAUUAUCAUAUAAACUGAUUUAAUCAUCAAACAUACUCACACAUAUGCAUUCAUAGUGUUUAGGAUUCAAUUCAUCAUGUUAUGGGGUUAUGCAAGGUUAAAUUUAGAGUUAGGACUCAAAUCCAAACUCAACUAUCAAAUUUCAAUGUUAUGUCUCGAGAUAGAGGACUUCUUGUUUUCAAGAUAGUCCUCAUUUUAUUUUAGGUAUUUUUUCUUCGAUGCCAACAUGUCUCGAGACACUGGAGGUAGUGUCUUAAGGGAAGGUUCUUUGCGUCUCGAGGCCAACCUCCCCUGUUUCAUUAAUUUAGCUUCGAUGUUUAAAUGUCUAGGGACAAGGGUUCUUGUCUCGAGACUUGAAACAGAGCAAAUCUAAUUUAGCUUCAAAGUUUACUUGUCUCAAGACAAUGACCCCUUGUCUCGAUGCUUGAAUAGGAUUGUCUCGAGACUAGCUUGCCAAAUCUUGAGACACUAAACAUAUAAGUUAAAUUAUAAGGUAAAUUUUGUUCUUAUGGUCUCGCGACAUGUUCCUACUAUCUUGCGACUCAAUGGUAAAAUAGCUUUAAAUGCACAUUGUCAUGUGUCCAAACCAUACCAAAUGGCACAUUAAAUAUACCAAAAUUUUACAUCAAAUUAAGGCCAUAAAUUAAACACAUAUAAACACAAUUAAACAUCAUCAAAUCAUAACCAUCAAUGUAACAUCUUUUAAACAACUAAUUUACAUAAUCAAACUGAUAUAAACUAGAAUAAUUAACUACUAAUUAAAUAUUAAAAUUCAUCUUAUAAAACCUUAUAGGCCAAAUACAAAAUAUACCAAAAUUAAAACUUAAGCAACAUGCCUAAAACAACCUAGGUACAUGCCAUUUCAACUCAAACACACACACACACACAAAAGAGGUAAUAAGGCAUGUUCUGAGUUGAGUUGUUGAGUUGGAUGCUGGGCAUUAUAAUCUACAUCUACUAACGUUCAAUACUUGCACAUAAAAACAAACAUAACCAUACGUUGAGUAUCGAAUACUUAGUGGUGCUUGUUGAAACCUUCUUUUUUUUUUUUGAAAAUGACUUUUAUUUAAAAAAAAUAAAAAUGGAGUCGCCACUGAUCCUUUUUAUUAGGUGUAAUUGGGCCACCUCAAAUUUUAACCAUCUUAAUAAAAUAUUAGAUUUUUCUAAAAUGAUAAUUUUUAGCCUACGAAAUCCAAGAAUGUGGGUUCGAGAGUCGGUUAUGUAUGAGGAAGGAUUAGCACCCUCAUAAUGUCCAAAAUUGGUACCUAGUUGGUUACUUAAUAUUGUGAUGUCGAGAAUUGAAAAUUCGAAGCAAAUUUAAAAUACGAUCCCUCUUUGUAUGAUAUUAAAAUAUCGCUUAACUAAAUUAAUUUUCACAAAAAGGCCUUCUUUCAAGUUAAUCGAGAAGAAAAGAUCGUGCCCUGUAAGUUAGGACACGAUGCCUUAAAUCCUCGAAAACAAGAAUAAUCGUCAUUUGAUCAUUACUUAAAUCUCGUUUAUUUUUUAUUUUUAAAAUAGAUAUUCAACUAUUUGGGUUUUAGAAAGAGGCCAUACUCCAUAAGUUAGGAGCACGACUCCUCUAAUUCAAAAAUAAUGAACACUGCCUUGGUUUUCCUUUAAAAUAUUUCCUAUUCAUAUGGUAAAACGAAUGCAACCUUUUAACAAUUGCUUUUUAAUUUAUCUAGGCCUAGUAGUAAAAUGGAUGAAUAUGUUUAACGCGAUACACGGCAUGGAUGUUAGCAAAAUAAAGUAACAUAGUAACGGGUAAAAAUGAAAUGAUGAUAUUAAAAUGAUAAGUAAAUAAAUGAACAAAUCAAUAAAUCAAUAAAAUAAAAAAAUGAUAGGUAAUAAUAAUACAACUAUAAUGAUAGUAAAAAAAACAAUUUAUAGUAAUAAUAACGAUAAUCAUAUUAUAAUUACUAUAAUAAUAAUAAUAAGGGCGAAAAAUGCACAAUAAAAAGGAAAUAUAAGUAACAUGAAUUUUAAUUAUAAAAAGGGUAAAGAAAUAAUAAAUAAAUAUAUAAAAACAAUUCAUAAAAGGUUAAAAUUAAAUAAACCAAGGACUGAAUCGGAACUAAAAUGAAAUUAAAAGCAUAAAUUGUAAUAAAAUAAACAAACAAGUAAAUAAAGGACUAAAAUAAGAAAUGUGAAAAUAAACAAGGCUCAAAUUGGUAAUUAUUCCAAACCCCAGGACACAAGUCAUUCCCCGGCAAAUGAAGGACUAAAUUGAAAACAAGUUAAAAUUAAAUGGUGUAAUCUAAAAAGAAAAAAAUUGAGAUUAGGACCAUAUCAAAAAGAAGGUUCAAAAGUGGAAGGACCAGGACCGCAAAUAGACCACUCUACGAAAACACAUGGAUCCCAAGGGAUCCGGAUCGGGUUGGCGGGCCAAGCUUCAAAACGAAACCGUUUCGGGACUUUUGAACACCGGCCAAAACGGUGUUGUUUAGUCUUGCUUAUAUAAAUCAAAAUUUUUUUAAAUCUGCUUAGGUUUUUAAAAAAAAUUUUGAAACCCUUUCUUUUUCUCUCAGCCUUUCUUUAGGUCCGGCCUUUGGCCCGCCGAUGCUCUGCCAUGGCCACCGAUCAUCGGCGACAACAACCGUCCCCUCCGAUGGCCGGAGUCCAAAAAAACCCAUUUUCAGCCCUUUUCAACCCUAAAACCCGGAUCUAAAGGCAAAUGCCUUUAAAAAAACAAAAAAAAUGAAAAAGAUUUCGGAUUUCCCCCUUUCUGGUCGCGCCCUUUUGUAUCCCCUUUUAUUGAAGCCCAGACGAAACCUAAUGGGUUCGACGACUCUCAAGAUCGAGGGAGACCCCCGACGGCGGCGCGAGACGAAGCCAGGGAAAAGGUUUUAUAUUUAUUUAUUGUUUUUGAAUCUAAAGAAACAAAGUAAAUCACCUUUUUUUUGCUUAAUGUUUGUAUCCGAUUUUUAUUUCAAUCUUCUCAGGCGGUGAGCACGCUGACGUGGUGAGGCGCGGUGCAAAAGGGGAUCUAGGGUUUUUAGCUUUCUGAAAAUAGUUUAGGUUAUGGGCUAUUUGGCUUUAGGUUAUUGGGUAUUAGGUUUAGCAUAUGGGUUGGGCUAUUGGGCUCUUUUUGUUUGGGCCAAUCUAGUUUGUAAAUGGACUUAGACUUUUAUUUUUCAUUUUUAUUUUGUUUAUUUAUUUUUGGUUUCUAUUUGGGUCAGAAAAAAUUGGGCCCUUACAAUGCUAAUAUAAUUCAAAUUCAAAUAUAUAUUGUGUUAAGAAUAAACUAAAGUAAGUAUAUAUAACAAGUAUCAAUUACGUAAAUGAAUACUACUUUAACUUAUCAUAUCAUUUUCCAACUUUCAUAUUCAUUUCACAUUUCAAUAUAAAUUUCAAUGCUUAUUCAUUUUUCCCCUAUUAUCCAAUGAUAGAUAUUAGAAUGGAUACUUAAAUCUGUAUAUAUCAAGUAACUCCACAACCCUUUUGGAAACUAGGACUAUUUUAUUCUGUCAUCCCGGGUUGCUCGACAACGAUGAUUUUCAAUAUUUUUCCCACUAUUUAUUCAACCAUUCUGGAUUUCCCGACAACGAUGGCUACUAAAUCACUAUAUUGAUGACCCUAUGGCAUUCCAACUAUACCCGAACUACGUCUAACAUCGUUUAAUGGGGCAUUAACAUCAUAUUCACUGCUCUAACAUAUAUCAUUAUAAUACCAAUGUCCAAAUAUUCAUAGUCACAUCCAAAGCAAUUUCAAAUAUUUAUCACAUAAUUCAAAUAUCACCAAUCAAAUCCAUUAUUCAAAGUUGAUAGGGAAAGAUGCCAUUAAGUCAUAUUGAUUACAACGACUAAUUAAUCUACGAAAGUAAAUUGGAAUUGAAUUACAAAAGCACAAACCACAAUAGUUAUUUGUGUUCACUUUUUCUUUCCCCUUCACCUUGGACAUUCCAACAUCGUCUUUCACUACGAUCGAUAAUACAGUAUAAUCAUACAUAUCUUAUUUACCAAAAUUUUAUCGACUUAACAAGAAUAUAUAUUAUUUUUAUUAUAUAUUUAUAUAUAAUGUUGAGUAUGCCUCAUAUUUUAGUCAAAUUUGAGAGAUAAUCUCACAGUUAAACUCUGUUUAUUUGUUUCAGUCAAACUCUGACUAGUCUAUAUUAUUUUAUUAUUAUUUGACCUUCAAAUUUAGCCUAUAAUAGGCUCUUUUACAACCUUAAAAAAAAUACACUCAUUAAAUAUUAGAUCUCAUAACACUUUUGAAGAAUUUUGUGUUUACGUUUUGAGGGUUCUUUGUUUUCGAGUUUCGAGGUUUAGUUUUUUAUCUCCAUCUUUUGUACUCUUCAUUCUUUUGUCAUUAUAGUAAAAUCAUCUUUGCUCGUGGUUUUUUUAUCCUCUUUGAAGGGGUUUUUCCACAUUAAAUUUGUGUGUACAAUUUCUCAAUUUCUUCUGCUAUUUUUACUUGUUCAUUGCUUAAUCGGGUUAAUUCCUAACAAGUGGUAUCAGAGUUAGUUCGAUUUUCAUAGAUCAACUCAUUCAGAUAUGGCAGCAACAAAAUUUGACAUUGAGAAGUUCGAUGGUGUCACAAAUUUCAAUUUGUGGAAAGUUCGGAUGAUGGCAAUUCUAGUUCAAACUGACCUGAAAAAGGUUGUUACUGGGAAAAAGCCUGAGAAUCUAGAUCAGACAGAGCGAGAAGAGCUUGAUGAAAAGGCCCCUGUCUACAAUUUAGUUGUGCCUCGCGAAUAAGGUAUUACAGGAGGUAUUGAUGGAGAAAAACCUCAUCCGCCUUGUGGAAAAGGUUAGAAACUCUAUAUGCGACUAAGUGUCUAGAUAACCAUUUAGUAUUGAAACAACGUAUUUUUACGUUUCGCAUGAACGAAGGUGAGCUUCAUAGAGAUCAGACUAGUCAAUUUAUUACUCUUUUGAAUGAUUUAAAAAUGUUGAGGUUAAGAUUAACGACGAAGAUCAGGCUAUGUUAUUAUUGUGCCUUUUACCCCCUUCAUACAAGUCUUUCAGGGAAAUCCUAAUUUAUGGUAGAGACAAACUCUCGUUUGAGGAUAUGAAGGGUCAUUUGUUGAGUAAUGACAAACUCGAAAAUGAUUUUGGUUCGAAUAGCAAGGCAGAUAGGCAAGCUUCCAUUUUGGUAGCAUCAAAGAAGUGAGACAGAAUGUGUCGCUAUUGUAAAAAGUUAGGUCACAUCAAAGCAGAUUGUUAUAAACUGCGAAAUAAAAGGGAUGCUGAGAGUAACGAGGAAGAUGUAGCUACUGCUAAUUUAGAUGACGAAACCAGUGAUGAUUUCUUGUUAGUGUCAAUAAGCGAAAGCUCCGAGCUUGCGUCUGAGUGGAUCCUAGAUUCGGGAUGCUCUUUCCACAUGUGUACAAACAGAAAAUGGUUCUCCACAUACAGUUUGCUUGAAGGUGGAGUUGUACGCAUGGAAAAUGAUUCAUCCAUUAAGGUAAUCGGUAUUGGUACUAUUAAAAUUAGGAUGCACGAUGGGACAAUUAGGACAUUCUUAGAUAUCAGGUAUGUACCUGAUUUACAAAAGAAUCUCAUCUCCUUGAGUAUUUUAGACUGGAGAGGUUAGAGAAUCAACAUUGAGUCGAGCGACAUUAAGGUGUCUCGUACGGCUCUCGUUUAGUUAAAAGGUAAAAGAACCGACAAUCUUUAUAUUAUGACAGGUUCUAUAGUGAUUGGUGAAAUCAGACAUCCCUCAUCUAUUACGAAGUCGAAGUCAACUCAUUUAGAGUGGAGGCAACUUGGUCAUAAGAGGGAAAAAUGUAUGAUCAUUUCGUUGAAGAAAGGCUCUCUUUUGGAUGCAGGUUUUGAAAAGUUAGGGCAUUGUGUUCGUGAAAAUCAGACCCGUGUUAGUUUUGGUUUGACAGUGCACAAUUCGAAGGCUAGAAGUCUUCUAGCUUCUAAGCAUAUAUUCGACUUAGUUAAUUCCCUGCAUAGUUCAAGAUAGUCCCAUGGCAGGCUUUGGCAAAGAUGGAGUUGUGGAAAUACGAGUCAAGGUGGAGAUUUGUUGAGUAUGCCUCAUAUUUUAGUUAAAUUUAAAAGAUAAUCUCUCAAUUAAACUCUGUUUAUUUGUUUCAGUCGAACUCUAAUUAUUUUAGAUUAUUUUAUUAUUAUUUGACCUCAAAUUUAGCCUAUAAAUAGGCUAUUUUACAACCUUAGAAAAUACACCCAUUAAAUAUUAUAACUCAUAACACUUUUGGAGAAUUUUGUGUUUACGUUUUGAGGGUUCUUUGUUUUUGGGUUUUGAGUUUUAGCUUUUUAUCUCCAUCUUUUAUACUCUUCGUUCUUUUGUCAUCAUAGUAAAAUUAUCUUUGCCCGUGAUUUUUUAUCCUCUUUGGAGGGGUUUUUCCAAAUUAAAUUUGUGAGUUCAAUUUCUCAUUUUCUUCCGCUAUUUUUAUUUGUUCAUUGUUUAAUCGGGUCGAUUCUCAACAUAUAAUAUUUUAUACUUAAGAUUUUAAGAACAUAUCCUAUUUUAGGUGUAAUAGUAUAACAAAAGAACAUAUGAUAGUGGUAGUAUUUGAACUUGUGGGAUUAAAAUAUUGUACUUUUAAUUUAUCGAAAUAACCUCUUGUAUAUUAUCUUAACCAAUAAGUGAUUUUGAGAUUUCAAGUUUCUUUUUUGAAUUAUAAGAGGAGGGUAAAGUCUUAAUAGUGAGACGACUAGCAUGAUUCAAACUCAAGACACACCUGAGACGAUAAACACUCUGACCAUUAGGCUAAUAUAGAAAUUUUAGUCUAUAUUAUCCUUUCUUUUGUAAUUUUCAUUUACCUUAAAAUAAUAACUGUUUUUCAUAGUUUUUAAAUUCAUCAAUUUAAAAAUAAUUCUAAAACCCUAAAGAAAGUUGGUCGAAUAAGUAAUAAAUUUAUUUAUUUUAAAAUGCUAACAAGUAAACAAAUACAUUUGAUUACUAAGGAUUAAAAGAAACAUGAUAAACAUUUUUUAUUAAGUAAAAUUUUAAAAUAUUAUACCAAAAAAAAUUAGUAUUUCAAAUACUAUAGAGUCGUAUUAUUCUUGCUUUCCACUAAUAUUUCCUAAGAAACUAGUAUCAGUAAUGAAAAUAUUGCCCAUAAAGACUGCUGGUGGACUGAGGACUUAAAUUCAAUCAAGAGCAUGUCAAAAGGAAAAGAAAAGAGUAAAUAUCACACAUGCCCUCAAAACAUUUGACAUCAAUUAUUUUGAUAUUUACAUUUCGAUUGGUGAAGAAAAAUCGAACUACAUUAACUGGUUAAAUUAAGAAUUGAUAUUGAAUGAUAAAAAAAAUCAGCACAAAAUUUAAUUAGAAAAACCAAUUUUUGAUAUUGAGUUUUUUUAUAUUAAAAUUAUUUUUCUGCAAGUGAUCAGAUUAGAAGUUUAAACUUAAUAGCCUUUUAUAUAUAUUAAAUAUGAUAACAUUAAAUCAAGUACAUGAAGAACAUAUAUAAGCAAAAAUCUGUCUAUUGAAUUAUGUCAUGAACAAAAAUCAAGAGCAUGCUAUGUAUACAUAUAGGGGCUUCAACACAUCAUCUUGCUUUCCCACAUUCACGCAUAUCUAUAUAAACAAGUACAGGGACCUUUAUUCAAUACUUAAAGUCUGCAGCCAUGCUAGACCGACUGGAAGGAACAAAACAAAUUUAACUAAUAAAUUACUACUUUUUAAACAUAUUUAAUAUCAAAAUUAUAUUUAAGAUUUAAUUUAUAUUUUAAUUAAAUAAUUCCGUUUGACCAAUCCAACCGAUAGAAUAAUUAAAUAACUUAAAAUUCACAUCGAUUUGUUACAGAUGGGGCCCUGGGAAGGACCAAAAAGAUAUUUGUCUGAAAGUUUAAAGAUAAAUAGAGGAUAUUUACUUUGUAACACACAUUUAAACAUUUAUCUACUAAUUUUUUAAAGACAUCAACUUUGAAUGAAAAGAAUCAAACAAAAGACAAACCAAUAUUGCUUUUAAUCUAUUUGCAAAUCUCAUUCAAUGGGCCCUACAUGCAUUUUGUUCUAUAAUUGGUUUCAUGCAUUUAUGUGGUCUUUUUUUGACUUAAAAUCACCAGUAUUUUGUUUUUACCUAUAAAUACAUGCAACGAUUGCAUUCUUAUCCUCACUCAAAUUCUGUGCCAAAUUUGAAGAGCAAACCAAAAAAAAAGCGGCAAAUUAAGCUUUCGAAUAUUUGCUUUUGUUCAAUCCAAAUGGCUUCACAAGUUUCUCAAUUGCCUUCUUCAUCACCCCUUACUUCCAAUAAGGAUGAAAUGCGCCCCAAAGCUGAUUUUCAGCCUAGCAUUUGGGGAGAUCUCUUCCUCACUUGUCCUAAAAAGGUAUACUAAUAUAUGAGCAUAUUGACAUAUAAUGUUAACAUAUUAUUUGUUUAAUUAUUUAGUGUUUCAGUAUGAAUAAAAUUUGCAUUAUUUUGAGCAGGAUAUCAAUGCAGAAACUGAACAACGCCACCAACAAUUGAAAGAAGAAGUGAGGAAGAUGGUUGUGGCACCGAUGAAUAAUUCAACCCAAAAGUUAAACUUCAUUGAUUCAGUACAAAGACUGGGUGUGAGUUACCAUUUCACAAAAGAGAUCGAGGAUGAACUAGAGAACAUCUACCAUAACAACAACGAUGCCGAGAACGACAUCUACACUACAUCUCUUCGAUUCCGAUUACUCCGAGAGCAUGGAUUCAAUGUUUCGUGUGGUAAUUAUUGGAACAACAUAGUGCUUUUAAGUUUUAUGACUAUAUAAUAGCAUGGAAUGUUUGAAAACGAUAUUUUGUUUCGGGUGAUUUGAUCGCAGAUGUAUUCACCAAGUUUAAAGAUGAGCAAGGGAACUUUAAGUCAUCUAUGACAAGCGAUGUUCCAGGAUUGUUGGAACUUUAUGAAGCUUCCUAUUUAAGGGUUCAUGGGGAAGAUAUAUUGGAUGAAGCAAUUUCUUUCACCACCAACCAUUUAAGGCUUGUAGUAGCAUCUUUGGAUUAUCCUUUAUCCGAACAGGUUUCUCAUGCUUUGAAACAAUCAAUCCGAAGAGGCUUGCCAAGGGUUGAGGCGAGGCACUAUCUUUCAGUAUACCAUGAUAUUGAAUCCCAUAAUAAGGCUUUGCUGGAGUUUGCAAAGAUUGAUUUCAACAUGUUACAACUUUUGCAUAGGAAAGAGCUAAGUGAGAUUUGUAGGUAUGUGUUUUUGAAUAUUUUUCAUCCAUUUCUUCUUUUUUCACCUUUUUUUUUUCAAUUUAUAGGAGGCUUCAUCCUCAGUAUAAGGGACGGGUUGCAAAUACUAAUAUUCAAAUCUUAAACGUAUUAAAUUACAUUAGUUAAAAGUGAAGACAUGAACUUUGGACUCAUCUUUUUCACCUAUUUCAUUUAACGUAUGAAGAUAUAUAUAUAUAUAUAUAUAUAUAUAUAUAUAUACAAACUUGAGAUUUCCAAUAGAAUUAAGAAUCUAACAAUUUACUCUUCAACAACAUGAAUGUGAAACUAAUAAAAACUUUGAAGAUUCAUUGUGCUAAUGAGGUUUUUUAUGAUAUAUUUUUUAGGUGGUGGAAGGAUUUAGACUUUCAAAAAAAGUUGCCAUAUGCAAGAGAUAGAGUGGUUGAAGGUUAUUUUUGGAUCUCAGGAGUAUACUUUGAGCCCCAAUAUUCACUUGGUAGAAAGAUGUUGACAAAAGUGAUAGCAAUGGCAUCUAUUGUAGAUGAUACAUAUGACUCAUAUGCAACAUAUGAUGAGCUCAUUCCCUAUACAAAUGCAAUUGAGAGGUUAGAUUUCUUUAGUUAGAGAUUAACAUUCAGUUAUAUAUUACGAGGAAUGAUUGAAUAUAACGUUGAAGUUGGAUUCAGGUGGGAUAUCAAAUGCAUAGACCAACUUCCAGAAUACAUGAAACCGAGCUACAAAGCACUAUUAGAUGUUUAUGAAGAAAUGGAACAACUGAUGGCUAAGCACGGAAGACAAUAUUGUGUCGAAUAUGCGAAAAAUGCGGUAUAUACAUCAAGAAAUAUUUAUUUUAUACAAAAGAGAUAAGACCUUAGCUAAAUUUUAUAUUUGAAUAAACAAUUAACUUAAAUAACAUUAAAAUCAUUUAAAUAUUAUUAUCGAAUUUGACUUGAUAUUAGUGAUAAUUGUUGGGAUUUUGUUGCCUCAGAUGAUACGACUUGCUCAAUCUUACCUUGUGGAGGCCAGAUGGACUCUUCAAAACUACAAACCAUCAUUUGAGGAGUUUAAGGCUAAUGCUUUGCCAACUUGUGGUUAUGCCAUGCUUGCUAUAACAUCUUUUGUCGGGAUGGGAGAUAUCGUAACACCAGAGACCUUUAAAUGGGCUGCCAAUGACCCUAAGAUCAUUCAAGCUUCCACAAUUAUUUGUAGGUUUAUGGAUGAUGUUGCUGAACACAAGGUAUAAUAAUAUAUUUAUAUAAUCACAAGAAACUAAGCUCUUAACUCAAUAAUUGAAUGUCUCUGUAACGAAAUCAAAAAUGGUUUUUUAUCAUGAUCUAAAACCAUUAAAGUUUAAUAUUUAUAUAUAAAUGUUUAGUCUUAAAUUGAAGAAUAAGAAAAAAAAAAAGAGUUUCAUUUUAGGGUUACUAGGGAGGAAAUGUUGUCAAAAGGUAAUUUAUCAUCACUAAACAAAUGUAGUUUAAUAAACUGAUAGAUUUUAGUGUAUAUAGUGAUAGAAUAAUUUUGAUUUUAUUACGGCUGC
Molecule: long non-coding RNA, 63929 nt
Filed under: Gossypium raimondii (Peruvian cotton)
Lineage: Eukaryota; Viridiplantae; Streptophyta; Magnoliopsida; Malvales; Malvaceae
Description: long non-coding RNA (GRAI_LNC007809)
Source: RNAcentral